UUUUUUUUUGGUUGGGUGUGACCAUGGUCCCUGCCCAGUUCCGGGCCACAGGAAGGCUCCUCCGCCUGCAGGAUGGAUGAGACAUCCAAAUUUUGUAUCCUAGCUAAAGUGCACCACAAAUAUUAAUAUUAAUAUUCUCGUAUAUAUGCCUAUUACAAACUUGUUUCUUGUUAACGCCAAACAUGAAUUGAAGGCAGUUUACAAUUAAUUUGCAAAAAGAUAAAAGAGGACUGUGGGCAGAGCAUCAUCAGUUGUAGACGCAGCUGCCGUCGUCGCUUCUGGCUGUUGGGUCGAAGUUGCCGGCCUUUGGGUCGGUGCACCCCUCGGGCACGGGCACGCCCACCUGCUGCGCCGCCUUGCCGUAGUACAAGUUGCCGGCGGUGAUGGCUUCGUCGUGGUUGGCGUCGCCGAGCGCCGCCUCGCUGAGGUACUUGUCGGCCAGCUGCACGCGCUUGACGUUCUCCUGCUCCGCCACCAGCAUGUGGCCGUACUCGAGCAGCUUCUCCAGCGUCAUCUUGGGCUGCUGGAACGUCGGCGGGCCCUCCCUGGAGUUGACGAGCUUCCGGCCGAUGUUCUCGAUGCCGGUCUCGGCGACCCACCGGCGCACCUCGUCGUCGUACACCCGGGCUCGCAGCGCGCCGAAGAAGUCGAUGGACUGCCCCGGGAAGGUGUCGACGAGCUUCACGACGGCCUCGUCGGGGACGCCGUCGGUGCGGAAGAUGCCCUUGCAGACUCCUAUCCUAUCCUCGCGGGUGGGCGCCCAGUAGAACUUGUCCAUGCGGCCGUCGCGGAUGAGCGGCGCGUACAGCGUGGAGAAGUCGUUGCCGGUGACGACGAUGGGGACACGGGGGUUCUCCUCCUUGUUGUACAUGCCGGGGAGCUGCACGUUGGUGGGGUUGUCGGCGAUGUUCAUCAGGGUGGCGUUCACCAUCUGGUUGUUCACCGUGUACUGCGUGGUGCCGCCCAUGCGCCCGGCGCCGGCGUCGAGGUCGUUGAUGAAGAGCACGCACAUCCUGCCCUUGCUGAUGAUGUCGGCGGCCUCGCGGUAGCGCUGGCGGAUGAGCUUGGCGGGCUCGCCGGCGUUGCCGCUCUCCAGCUCGCCGGCGCUCAUCAUGACGGGGUUGAUGCCCAUCUUGGCGAAGACGAGCUCGCACUGGAAGGACUUGCCCUGGCCCUUGCCGCCCCAGAUGCCCAGGAUGAGGGGCACCUUGAUGUUGGGCAGGGACAUGAAGUUCUUGGCGAUGUGGACCACCAGCUUGUCCAUGAACGCCGGAGCGAUGUAGUAGCCGUCCAUCAUGUUGUCCAGGUUGUACUGACGGAGACCCUGGCUGAGGUACUCGUAGGAGCUGAGCACGGCCUCGUGGGUGCCGUCGCCCAUGGGCGCCUGGAACAGGGAGUCCACCAGGCCCUUGCCGCGAGUGAUGUCCUGCUGGUCGUCGGAGAUGUCGUGGGCGAGGCCCCUCCACCUGUCGCUCUCGGUCUGCUUGGUCUCGUCCACGGCCUCCUUCUUACUAUUGCUGGCCGACGCCGCCAUCGCCAUGACGACGACUCUGCUUCGACGGUGCUGCUUCCUGGUGGUGAUGAGCUUCUUCUUCUUCUUCCCAACGCCGAGGAAGCUGCUCGGCGUCGAGGCCAAAUUUAAAGCAGCAGCAGCAGCCAUCUCGAUCGAUCGAUCUCAAGAUUAUUGGACGUACAAAUUGAAUGGGAUUGAAGAUGAUGACGAUGAGUUGUAGUAUAUAUAGCAGGGUAAAGAUAUGCAGCUGCUAAAUUGAUGAGCAGGCAGUAGCUAGUGUGGUCUGGAUCCUUCCCGAUUGCUCACUGGAUCUCCAGAACGUUAACGAACAAGUGUGCAGUGGUGGCCUGGUGGGUACGUGAGGCUGAUGAGUGGCCAACAUGUUAGUACGUCCAUCCAAACACUGCUAUCCCAGCCUGACAUGCGUACGCUGUCGAUCGGAUGGGCCGCGUGGGCCCCCACCCUGGAUUUAGCAUUUGAGUACCGCUCUAUCCAUCCAUCCUGUUUUAGCACAGCUUUUUUUAAGUGUUUAUAAUAAUUCUUACUAUAUAUCUUGUAUGUCUAAGAAAAAAAAUCAAAACAAACUACAGUUUAAAAUGGAGGGAAUAUUUAGCAAAAAAAAAUAGGCCAUGUUUGGACCGCAUAUACCGGCUCCAGGGAUCGCCAAAAUGAUUGAGCAAGAACCGAGGGUUUACUGAACCCUUGCAUUAACCCUCAAUCUAUGAGCUUAGUGCGCUAAGGUCGUUGGGUUGGGGAAAAAACUCAUCUUUAGUCGUACUUGCAUUGGAUGGUUCUUAGCGAUUUCAAGAUUAGCCGCUAGACGAUCGCAUAACCUUUGAUCUAACGGAUGACCACCGGGAGCCUUGUUUCUACUCUUUUGUCACGUUUUAGAUACUUGAGUCUCGAGGCUUUUGUCAAGAGAGAACGAAUUGAAGGAUCCAUACAGCUUUUACAAAGCAUGAGAAUCGAAAUUGGUGAUCAUCUCCACGGAAGGGGAGAAGACGACAGGGUAUGCAUGGCGAGCUCAGCAGCUGGCUGCAACGAGCUCUCUGCCGCAGCACGCAGCAGCUGGCGUGCUCCUCGAUCUAGAUAGAUUGUAACGUUUUCGUCAGCGCCCCUCGAUGCCGCCCUGGCUCUCCAUCGGAGUUCCUUUCUCCACUUCCGGUCACAUCAAUCUCCAUCGGCGGCUGUGGCUCACGGCUUCGCCGGAGGUGCCGGAGAGUCCAUUUGUCCAGGCCUCGCCGGCGUGGAGCGAGCGAGCGACCGACGACCUGGGGACGUCGGCGUUCACCCGGAACGCCGCGUGGGAGAGGAGAGGCGACAAAGAAAAAAAAAAAAGGGAAGCGUCAAGAGUACUGGUCGUUUUCUCCCUCUAUCUGAGGAGUGUUGAAAAGAAUUAUUGGAAUGGAACAAACCAAAAAAUAUUGAAAAAAAGAAGAUGCAUUUCCAAUACUAGUCGUUUUUUUGGGAAAGAGAGACCUUUUUUUUGAGGGGGGAAAAGAGAGACUGAUGCUCUGAGGAAUUGAGGAAACACAGGUACCAAAAAAAGAAGAGGGAGAAAACACAAGCCGGGCCUUAACGGGCGGCCAGGCUAUGGCCCGCUAAGGCACGGCCCGUUAAGGCCCGCUCGGGGUCCCCAUCCCACCACGCGCCCCUCCCAAGCCCAUGGGUCGUGGCUGGACUUAUGGGGGGAUCAUUCAUGGGGCAGCAGCUUCUCAUUUCUAGGACUCUGUUUCUGAUAUUGUUCCCGCUGCAUCUGCUCAUCCCCAUGGUGAAUGUUGCUGUUGAUCUGUAGAUUGGAUUUGUUGGUCGGUAGUUUGAUUAGAUUUGUGCUGAAUCAUAAUCUCUGCCUGUGAUAUUUUUCUUCAUUGCGGAUGUGUGCCGAGUAUUAUCCCCUUUGUUCAUUCUGUUGGCUUGCUUUCAUUGAUCUUAAGAUAACUGGUGUCAUAAAUUCACACUAGCUGAUGCACUUGCAGAUAGCUAUGUAAAUAUGAAAAAGAAGUAUUUUUUUUUAUCCUUUUGUUUUUUUUGCAUCAUAUCUGUUUAAAGGUACAGCAUUAGGAUUUUUUUUUGUUUCUGGGGAAUCAUAUCUGCUUAAAUGGUAUAGAAAAUGCUGAGCGUACUGUCAAAUAGAUUUUCCAGCAGUCUGCUUUCAGUUGUUUGCCGCGCAUUCACUGGGGAAGCACGCGCCAGGCAUCACCAGGCUCCUCGUGCCCCUGCUCUGCUCCAAGGACUCGGUGCUUCGACGCGCUGCUUUCCCUGUCAUUGUUAUGUUGAUAUUGGUUUACACGUGUCAUUCACCCCAAAUGGUGUUGCAAGGUUGAACCUAUUGUGGGAGGCUUUUGGUUUCCCUUGACCAAGUAUCACUAGUGAUAUCACUGCGUUCUGGUUAUGUAUGAAACACUUGUCUUUUUAAAACCUUUCUGAAUUUAGAAACGAAUUUGAAACCUUGGUUAUUCAUCAUGGGUUCACAGAUUUGUUUUUCUUUAAAAGAAUUGGGAAGUAGCUUUCUUUCUGGGUAUAUGUGGGGAAAUGCAUAUGCAAUCUUUUAUUUAUUGAGGUGACUGUAAAAUUCUUGUCUGACUGAAUAUGCGAUUUCAACCUACAUGCUAUACUUAGGGAAAUUUGUGAAUCUCCUAAUGUGGCUUAUAUGUGUGGAGUCACUUAACCUAUGCACUUGGACCUCCACGUUUUAUGAACCUAAUUUGACAGCCUGCUCGUCUUUUAUUUUCUACCAAUCAGCUAGGAACGAACAUGGUGAUGUUUGCAUCUCUGCCAUCAAUGGCUUACAUGUCAUUAUGUAUCACAUUAGCAAGUCUUGUUUUGUUAUUGGGCGGGAUGACGGGGACACUGGCUGGAAUUAAAUCAAAGUGGUAGAUCACAGGGUAUUCAUUGCCAUGUAUUUCUGCAGUUGCAUGGACUUGCAUCAAACGGACCUCCCUACUUAUGUGAUUGUCCUAUAUGAUCUCCUUUGAUUUCAUUUGCAUAGAGCUAUGUACACUGUAAUCACAUUAGCUAGAACACUCGCUUUUUGCUUCAAAUUUGAAAUUCAUACCAUGAUGGACUUGAACGCUGAAUUUCUUGAUUGCUGAGUUAGUAAUCACAUUGUGGCGCUGCCACAGAAGCUGGACUCUUCAUUGUUGUUGCCUUGUGGGCUGCCGUGUGCAAAGAACAAGAGCGCACGGUAUUAUAAUAGCAGAGCAGAACACAGACAAGCGACAAGGAGCGGAGCAGAGCAGAGCACAGCCAAGCACAAGCAGUAGAGUAGAGCAGAGCAACCGGGAGAGGAGAGGGCACAUAUGCAGAGUAGAGCAGAGCCAAGCGCAAGCAUUCAUGCACUCAAGCAUGCAGCAGAGGUGUAGCAAGGCAAGCACAAGCAGCAGAGCAGAGGGAAGGGAAGGCUGGGAGAUGAAUAGGCGAAUAGUUAGUUACCUGGACAGAGCAGAGGGAAUGGAGAUGAUGCAGAUGCUUCCGGAGACUGGAGAUUUGGAGAGGAACAAGGCCACGUUGUGAACAAGGUCUCCUUUCUCUUCUCUAUUUCCCGUGCAAUACUCGUGCAUAGUGGCUGCCUCAUCCUCCAGGACGCCCACUUCAACCUGAGGCGGGUGCCACAGAUAUCCUGGCUAGGCGACGGCUAUCCCCAGCACGCCCCAGCGCCUUACGAACUAUGAUCCUAAUACUAUAAAUUGUCACGUACUCACCUUGUAAUCUUGUUUCAAGCAUGCUCUAUAUGUCAACCUGUAAGGUUAACUUCGUUUUUCCUUUUCUGGGUAGGGAAGUGGAUAUUGCUGUUAUUUAUGUUAUGUUGAUAUUGGUUUCCACAUGUCAUUCAUCCCAAAUGUGUUGCAAGGUUGAACCUAUCAUCGGAGGAAUUUUUUUCCCUUGACCUUUAUAUCACUACGCUCUGGUUAUGUAUGAAACGCUUGUCUUCUUAAAAACCUUAAUUUAGAAACGAAUUUGAAAUAUUAUCUUCGUUUACAUCCUGUAUAUGUGUUCUCUACCUUUUGUCCUAUAUUACCUUUUGUCCUAUAUGAUCUGCUUUGAUUUCAUUUGUGCAUAGUUUUUUCAAUUCAGACCUGGUGAUUUCUGAGGUUGAUGUGUCACACCCGAUUUUAAGAGUGCAUUAAAUACAUGUGCGCCAGGAUCAAGUUACACACAUGUACGACAUAAGCAAAUAUCAAAGACAGUGCCAUAACGAAAUAAAGAGAGUAUUAAUCAUUAUUACAUGAUCGAAAGUCUCAAAUAAACCACAAAGUCUAUUUAUUAUGCAGCGGAACUCCUAAGAUAGCAACGUCUCCAUAGGCAGCUGACUGAAGAACUGUACGCCUAGAACUUCUCAAAAUUGUGCAGGUACUCCUCCAAAUUAGCUUGGUCUGAAUAGCGGUUUUGCAAGGGUGAGUACAUUUAUGGUUGAUACUCAACAAGUCGUGGGAAACAGUGUAGUGUAAAGCAAAUCAAGGUAUGGCUAAGGCUUAAACAGCAUCAGCUUUUAAUUUAGUUGGUCAAAUUUUAUUAGCAAUUAACUAGAUGUAAGUUUAUACCACCCAAAAUUAAACAAGAACAUGAAUAAAAUAAUAACAUAACCAUAAAUGAAAUGACAAUAAUUUAAAUCCAUCUUUCGAUAGCAUUAUCAUGUGAGCAAUUUUUUCCCCUUGACCUUUAUAUCACUACACUCUGGUUAUGUAUGAAACACUUGUCUUCUUAAAAAUCUUAAUUUAGAAACGAAUUUGAAGCAUUAUCUUCAUUUACAUCCUGUAUAUGUGUUUUCUACCUUUUGUCCUAUAUGAUCUGCUUUGAUUUAAUUUGUGCAUAGUUUUUUCAAUUCAGACCAAUUUCUGAGGUUCAUGUUGUGCUGAUAAGCAGCCUACUAUUCAAUAACACUUUCAUGUGGCAUGUUCAUGUUAGCUAGCUAGAAACACUGUGCUUUUAGCUUCAAAAUUCAAAUUCAUGAUAUUAUGGACAUUGACAAUGAAUUUCUUGAUUGCUAAGCUAUGUACACUGUAAUCAAAUUGUGGGGCUGAUAAAAUAAGUAGCGUUGAGACACAUAACAAUUGAAUCUUAAGCUUCACACAGAAUCUGGACUAGUCAUCCUCAUUCUUGUCAUGCUGGAAAUGUCUUUGAUACAUUUCAAUCACAGGCAAUUGAAUUCGUACUGGGGAGGAUGGCAAUGGUGCGUGAAGAGAGAUCAAUGUGGCAAAUCUCACACUGUUCAUUACCAGGUAUCUCUGAUUUCUGGUUAUUUUAAAUUUACCUUGACAUGUGACUUAUUGAGGUAGUGUAUUUCAUCUAAUGGUAGUUCUGAAUUUAUGGUAACCUUGGAUGGGGUUUGUCACUUUAUCCACGCACGGACUUACAAAGGACAGCAAAUGACUAUUUUUACAGGGCUCCUGUCUAACCAUGGACUAUACUUUAUGUACCCUUUUUUGACAUGGUAAUUUGAGGUUAAUGGAAAAGUAGCAUAUUUUCCCUGUAGUUACCUUGGGUUUACUUUCGCAUUGUUUUUUUACAGAGUUUGCAACCAGUGUUUCAUUAUCAGAUGAACGCAAGCAGAGGGUAUCACUCGUGGAGAGCCUUGGCGUUGCAGAGCAGUCCCACUCCAACUUGUAGAUAGUAUAUAUUCCCUCUGUUCUAAAAUGUAAGGUAUUUUGAUUUUUUUAGAUAUAUAGAUUCUACUAUGCUAACCUGAUAACCCCAUAAUCCAUCCUGAGGAAAAACCAGGCUAAGAAUAAGUGCUUUCAUGACAUUUAAAUGUCCUGGAAAGUCUUGUUUUGUUUAUAUGCUUAAGCAAAGUAGCUCUGGAGGGCAUGAAAGAAAAGCAUCGUGUUGAUGAGUAUUGCUGGAUGUUUAACUAUUAGUAUGGUAUAUUUAACUGAACAAGGCCUAGGACAGCACAAGGAUGGCCUUUAGGACAGCAUUGCUUUCUCGGCCUAAUUGGCGCCUUACAUUUGGCGACCAUACACGGCCCGUUAAGGAAAUUUAUGCCCAAGUUUGCCGAAGCAUUUAAGGCACAAAUGUUUUUGACUUCUGAUGGCCUGUUUUUGACCUCCCAUGGCCCAGUAGCGACCCUAGUUUUUAUCAGCAAUGACCAAAUGUUAGCCCAGUUUUGCCCCAUCUUAGGGUCUAAUCAUGGACCAAUAAAACAUGUGCUAGACUUCAUGGCCACCGGAUGCGUGUUCGGCCACGUAAUCGUGUGCUAUAGCUCACGGGAGGCUGAAAAUGGCCUGAAGGGGCACAGUGGAUGAAAACGUUAGGGACGCUCGGAACACAAGAAAAUGACCACCAGAUACGUGUUUGGCCAUUGUAACUGUGCGCUAUAGUUGAUAGGUCGAAAGCGGCUUGAAGAGGCAUCAGUGAUGGAAACAUGGGGGAUGGUCGGAACACUUGAAAAUGGCACUGGAUAAGUGUGCUUAUUCCUUGCGGGAUGCUGAAAAUGGCUUGGAAGGGUCAUCUAGGAUGGAAACUAGGUGGACAAUAAGUGAAAAUGGGCAGCGGACACGUGUUCGGUCAUGUAACCGUGUGCUAUAGUCCACUAGAGGUCGGAAAACUGCCCUAGGGACUCUAGAGAUGAAAAUGUGAGGAACAGCUGAAAGGUUACGUGUUUGGCCAUGACAGCCCUAUUAGGAAGCGAUAGAAGUGGAAAGAUAGCUGGUUUCAUAUUGGCAUCCCAUCUCUGAACUUUUGCUUCCCCCUUCCCUCCGUAAUCCCGGGGCAUCGAAUUAAAAAGUAUACAAAUCACUUUCAGAUGUAAUUGAGGGUAAAGAGGGGAGGUUUCACGAGACUCUACAAUGUUCAAAUCAUUCGUUCGUUAGGAUGCCUCAGCUUCAUACAUUGUUGCACUUCCACUUGACACCUAUUUAAAUGGUUCGUCUCGCUGCUACAAGGUAUCAUCAGAUAUAGAAGAAUCAGAGACCGGGGGUAAUAGCAAAAAAGGAAUAUAACUCGUCUGAGGAAGUGGGCGCAGGGGCAGUGGGGUAAGGUAAUUGAAGUAACUAGCCAGUUUCUUCCCGAAACUUUCCAAGAAAAAUUCCGAAUUGGAUCCAAAAUUGACGGAUUAAUCAACCAAAAUAACCGUGAGCAGCCACAAUGUUAUAAAUGUUAUAAGUCCCUUCUUCUUGACCAAAUUUGUAACUCUUAUUAGCAGACUCAUUUUUAGUGGUUUCCCUGAUCAAACUAGAGGUUACCAAGGAACCGUGUGCUAUAGCCCACAGAUGCCUGGAAACAGCUAGGAAGGGCUUCGGGGAUGGAAACAACGUGGACGGUCGGAACACGUGAGAAUGACCACGGGAUACAUGUUUGGCCCUGUAACAGUGUGCUAUAGGAAGCCGGAAAUGGCUAGGAGGGUCACCAGGGAUGAAGAUGCAGGGAUGGAUGGAACAUGUGAAAAUGACCACUAGUGGUUAGUGGCAGGUCUAGAGAGAUAUCUCAUCAAAUUGGUGAGUUAUAUCCGGUUUAAACGAGGAUAAAAAUGGGUGUAUUUUCCACUCAUCAUAUUGUCUUUUCGUAGCUGUACCGCCUUUCGUGUGUUGUAUUGUUCCCCAAACACUAAGUCUCCGAGGCUUGAGAAAAUAAGGAAAGUGAUAGCAGCCCAAAAAUUGACCAAGUUUCUUUCCCCCUCUGGCUUUCUACUAGGAUUCAGAAUCCUCUUUUCCAUGACAAUCUUAAUUAUCUCCCAUACUCCAAAACUCACAAAAACAUCAAGAGUCCGCUGAGAAUAAAUUUAAGUAAAAAACAUGCACACAUAGAUCCACAUCCAAUGGCAAGGAAAGGGGCGUCAGACAAAGCCCAAUGGCAACUGCUGACAUGCGAUUAAAUUCAGAUCCACAUCCGGCCAUUCAAUAAUACGGUUGGAGUUGUGGCACAGAUAUAUUAUUGCAUGAUCAUCAAGAUAAGAUCGUACAGUGACUGAGUGAGACAAUAAAUAGCCAAGUAAACUAUUUUAUCCUGCUGCAAGCUGCAUUCAUAAGUUUAUUUCACCUUUGAUCACAAUACUCUUCACACACGUACGUCUCAGGGAGAUCUCACUUCCGCUGGACUGCUCACUUCCGCUGUCGUCGGUACUGCCAAAGACAUAAGCUCACAUCUGCUAUUGCGGAGCAGGCCAAUUUGCUGCGGAACUUCGGCGACGACCUGAAGGACAUGAACUCGGUGCUGGAGUCCAUCUCAGCAGCGCUCUAGGACGCUGACACCGGUAGAAAAACGACCUUCCAUCGUCAACAAAAAUCCCGGUAGCUUUUUUACUCGGUACUAAAGAGGUUUUAAUCUCGUGCAAACACCUUUAGUCCAGAUUGCUAUUACCACGCAACCCGGACUAAAGCGUCCCCCGCGAGUUAGUAUAUAAGGAUUGCAUCCUUUACUCAGUCAGAUAUAAUAUGUAGGUGAGAUGGUAAGGAAGCUAUGCGUGAGGCUUCAGGUUGUGGGUUCGAAUCCAAGUGGGUGCAGCUGUGGCUUAAGCGGCUGAGGCACGCCGCCAUAGACAUCUCAGAUUUGCUCGAAGACUACCAAGACACUAGUGAACCCUUAACAGUAAAGGUGAGUACUUAUGAAUGUCAGCAUCCAUGUUGUCCAUGCUUCCAAUGUAAUAACAAGAUGGACUACUCUUCCUAGCGGACUCUUCACAACCACUCGUAAAGCUAUGCGUUUCUCAAUGCAAUUUCGUAGAAGCCAAUCGAUCCAACCAAGUGACUAAAUCAUUCGUCCUUUCCAAUGAUGUGCAUCAGGUUUUCUAUAUGAAGGGCAUGUCUAGCAAACCUAAGAUUUCAGAAGAAAAAGAAAAAUCAUUGGAGCCAAAGAGCCACAUAGUUCUUCUAGGAAAAAAAUCAUGGGAGUCGAGAACAUAUCAAACCAAUCAGGGGAUUAUGGUCAGCUUAAUGGCAUGCCUCCAUUCGAUGUCGAAGUUCACCCAAGCAUCAUGUUAGCCAAACAUCAAAUGUUCGUGCGUUGUUACGGUAAAGAUCAAUUGUGUUUUUUAAACUCUUGGAAUUUUUUUAUCUAAGUUUUUAUUUACACUUAUUGGAUGUCUACACAUUUGCUAGAAAACUAAAAUAAUUUGGACUUAAUUAUUUCUUUCAACUGAAGUACUCACUAAAUUUCUACCUUUUUAUUUAAGCAAGAGAGUUGCUAAAAAAAAUGGAUACGUAACCAUGUUGUAUCAUACAAAGUAACCACGUUUCACAUAUAGUCCGGCUUAGCAAACACCAUUGUUUUCUGAACAUAGCGUACAUGAGUUAACAGACAUGGAUUUAUUUCUAUUGCAAGUAGCAUAGCGUACAACCUGCCUGCACCGAUGCAGCUCAAUAUGCGAUAAUUUUUAUCUUCCCAUGUAAUUUUUCUACUCUAGUACAUAUUGAACUCCACAUUAAUGUCAUGUUCUUUCGCGCCCCAGAAGGUUCCUAAAGUUUGGAAACUUAAUAGAUAGCCAGAAUUUUUUUUAAAGAUAUUUAUAUGGAUACUUGUAUGUUCUUUCCAAACUAACAAUAUUGUUUACCAAUAUCAGAAGGAAUAUGGUUAGGAGCCAUUGCCGCAUAUGGCAGGUGAUGGUAGAUGGCGUAUGGGGUUUCGUUAAUUUAAUGGUAUAAUAAGCUGAAAUACAUUUUCUAUUUGCAAAUGAAUCAUAGCUGAAAUUGGUGGGAUUGUUUUUUUCGCCGGUUUAGCAUCCUGUGCACCAGUUCAACCGGAGGGAAGCUGUUUUUUUUCUUUGGUUUUCCACCGGUUCACCGAGACCGAUGACAAUUUUAUGGCAGAAUCAUUACUUGUUUUACUAUUAGGUGAAGAUUUUAGCGUUUAGGUAUCUCACAUUAAACGCAACUUCAACAAUCUAUUUCUAGUGUAUAAUGUAGGAGACCCCGUAAAGAGUCUACACACACAUAUAUGUUGACUAUGAAUGUAAGUUUGUUGGUUUUAUGUAUGUUCGUUUGGAGUUUAUGUAAAUUUUACAUUUUAUAGUUUUGUGUAUAUGACGAAGAUCCAUGACUUGCAUUAAUUUAGCCUUUCUUCCAACAACUCUUAUGCAUGCUGUUUCUAGGCGAGCGUACUGGUUGCAAUUUUGGUCCCCGAUAUAGUGUGAGGACUUAAGGGACACGUGCAGGUCGUAACCUUAGAUAUUUUUGCUGAGAAUGGAUGAAGAAGCAAUAAUAUACUUUGCUUCUGAUUUUCUCCAUGUCAUUUGCUUACUCUUAUCCCUUUUAUUUAUCAUUAUAAGAUGAAAAUAUUGUAAAAACUUGGCUACGUGCGGUCGCAGAAGCUAGAGACUAAAGCGUCCCCCACGAGUUACUAUAUAAAAGGAUUGCAUCCUCUACUCAGUCAUAUGUACUGUGUAGGUGAGAUGGUAAGGAAGCUAUGUGUGAGGCUUGAGGUUGUAGGUUCGAAUCCCACGCACCGCGUGCGCAUGCGCAUAUUUUGCGUGAAAAAUCGCAUGACUUGUGGUCGGCCAAGGAGAAGUGCGUGCGGCUGAGGCACGCCGCCAUAGACAUCUCGGAUUUGCUCCAAGACUACCAAGACACUAGCGAACCCUUAACGGCAAAGUUGAGUACUUACGCGUGUUAGCAUCUAUGUUGUCCAUGCUUCCAAUGCAAUAACAAGAAGGGCUACUCAUCCUAGCGGAUUCUUCACAACCACUCGUAAAGCUAUGCGUUUCUCAAUGCAAUUUCGUAGAUGUCAAUCGAUCCAACCAAGCGACUGAAUCAUUCGUCCUUGCUAAUGAUGUGCAUCAGGUUUUCUAUAUGAAGAACAUGUCUAGCAAAUCCAAGAUUUCAGAAGAAAAAUAAAAAUCAUGAGAACCAAAGCACCACGUAGUUCUUCCAGGUAAAAAAAACAAUCAUCCACUGGGAUGACACACAGUAGCGAUCCAAAACGUCCAUAUUAAGACUUUUUGAUAGCAGAAAAAACAUGAAAAUGUCUAAUAUUUGUAGUAUUAAAAGGAAAAAUAAUAUAUUCACUUGACCUUUUUUUCGUAGCAACGCACCGGUGCGUAGUCAGACUUAGGCCACGUUUGGAUACUCCCUACUAAAGUUUAGCACCUGUCACAUAGGAUGUUUGGAUACUAAUUAGGAGUAUUAAACAUAGGCUAAUUAUAAAACUAAUUGAACAGAUGGAGUCUAAUUUGCGAGACGAAUCUAUUAAGCCUAACUAGUCCAUGAUUUGACAAUGUGGUGCUACAGUAACCAUUUGCUAAUGGUGGAUUAAUUAGGCUUAAUAGAUUCGUCUCGCGAAUUAACAUAGGGUUCUGCAAUUAAUUUUAUAAUUAGCUCAUGUCUAGUCCUUCUAAUUAGCAUCCGAACAUCUGAUAUGAUACUGCUAAAGUUUAUCACCUAGUAUCCAAAUACCCCCUUAAUGCACGAUGCCUGUGCAUCCACUGGGCCUACCCUCGUGGAUCACGCGCUCGUGGAUCACGCGCACCAUGACAUGGCUCAUUAGCUAGUCGUGCUAAUCCUUACCACCAAAUUAAAAACUAGCAUGUGUUGUGUGUUUGUGACCCUAAACGACUACCACCUUCCCGAGUCCACCGGAGUUGCCAGUUCACCACUAAGCUGACUCUCCGAGCUUCAUGUCACUGUCACCGCUCCAAAGACCUAGAUCGGUUCGCUGUGCACCCCGCUUCGUCCUGAGCUAAAUCCCAUCACGAAAGGUGACCGGAUGCUCGUUUUCGAGCGAAUUCUAGCGAGAUUGCCACCACCUUUCCCCUUCCAGCCGAUCGCAGCUGUCUGAUCACAAACCGACAGCCCAGAUCGGAUUUGACCAGGUCAAUACCGGUCAAGCCGAGAUGCAUGCUGCUUUUGCAAGAAGGCCCCUAUUUUUCUCUCUUUUUGCACUUGAGGUCCUACGCAGUUCAAAAGUAAUUAGAUCUAGAUCCUUUUUCUUCUGUUUUAGCCCUGUUCUUUUAUAAAAUCCCACCCGCCAUCCUGUUUGGUAUUUUGACAUGUUAGACCUUCUAUUUAUAUGUUUAAUUAGGUUUUAGCCCUUGGUUUCUUUAAGUUUAGCUCUUGGAAGUUUAGUUUUCUCGCAGUUAAGCCCCUGAACCUUGUUUAGUUCAUAUCUUUAGCGUUUUAAAUCCGUUUUAAGAGAUUCUUACGCCCAUAAGUUCGUGUUGAUGCAUAGAUUAGUUGACUUAUACGGACCUUGCUGAUUCAGCUCCUUCAUUGUGCUUCAGAUCUCGCUAGUGAAGAAUAAUGGAUGGGCUUUGGUUGAGCUUGUAGAUCGACCUGCAGUUGCAGUGAAUGUGCUGAGGACUGGCGGUACCAAUAAUGGGAGGCCGCUGCUCUGCUUGCUACCAAGGCCUGCGACGCUUGGACGCCAUUCAGAGUGCAUAAUUUCCAAGGAUCUCAAGGGCUCCACACCACGUUCCAAGUGUUUUUUCUUUGCCGAGUGUUUUUAGCUCGGCACUUGGCAAAGAGCUUGUUUGCCGAGUGUCCGAAAAAAACACUUGGCAAAGAGAAAACACUCGGCAAAUUUGAUGUUUCCCGUAGUGAUGUACUAUUCAAACUUGAACUGGGAUGCAGGCUUCAGUACCAAAGAGAGCUCUGGGCGCGGGUGAGCAGUGAGCUGGCCGGGCAGGGAGCUCCAAAGCGACAGCAACAAAGAGAGAAAUGCUAAGAGUAAGAACGACACACGAGGUCACUUCACAUAGAUAAUAGCAGUACGAACCAUACAAUAUCCUCUCUCAGUUUCACUCCGCCUCACACACGGCUAGCACACCAUGCAUGCCGAUUUCAUAUUAUUAAUAUUAUUUUUUGGAUGGUUGUUGAAACUAUAUAUAUAGUUAGUCCAAUCUCACGUUUCCGAUUAUAAAAAUCAACGUAAAGAGAUCGGUAGGGAGAGCCGGCAUAAUGAAGCCGACGCGUGUAAUAAGCACCAGAGCCGGCAUUUAUACAAACUGGUACGAAUAGUAAAAAACUAGAAUUUAUAAAUAAAAAAAUGAUUUGCACAUCUAUGCAAUAAUUAGGGGUUAGUGGCAGGUCUAGAGAGAUAUCUCAUCAUUAUAUCCGGUUUAACGAGGAUAAAAAAGAGUGUAUUUUCCACUCAUCAUGUUGUCUUUUCGCAGCGGUACCACUUUUCGUGUGUUGUAUCGGUCCCCUAAUACGGAGUCUCCGAGGCCCGAGAAAAUAAGGAAAGUGAUAGUAGCCCAGAAAUCGGCCAAGUUUCUUUCCCCUUUGGCUUUCCUACUAGGAUUCAGAAUCCUCUUUCGCAUGACAAUCUUAAUUAUCUCCCAUACUCCAAAACUCACAAAAACAUCAAGAGUCCGCUGAGAAUAAAUUUAAGUAAAAAACAUGCACACACAGAUAAUAAUAAUAAUCAUGUUUCCAUAAAAUUGCUAAGUCCAGAGAUAAUACAUAAACAUAGUAGACUGUUCAUGACACAUAUCACGGUGGACAGUGUUUGUGUCCUUAUUACAAGCAACGAGAGAUGCUCGUCACCAACACGCGCGCGCACAGAUGCACGACAUACAUAUAGUAGAGACCAACAGAUGGUCGUCCCAUAUGGUGAACAAUUUAUUGGAGAUAAAUAUUAACGUAACUUGGCCAUAGCUUGAAGCAUAGCAACAUAUGCCUAUGAGUGGCAUUCAUGCUAUCGUUUUAGGCUUGUCCAGCUCCUUCCAUCUUAGCAAGCACUUCCAUUUCUACCAUCUUAGCAGCAACUGUCAAAUUGAGAUACGGAAAUCCCAUUAGCGCAUGAGUUAAUUUUGCAGUGGAAAUAGAGUACAAGAUGUCUUCAUGAUGUAAGUAAUAUGCCUGAAGUUGUGAGAUGGGAAGUGAAGUCAACAAAUUACAUUAACGGAAAUGCAUGGAAGGCCACACAUACGUAUUAGUCCAUGAUAUGCUACAAAGCUUGUAUGUACAUAUAGCAAAUUAAAUGCAUUAAUUGAAUAGAGUGUGUUUAGUGAAUUUACCAGAAUCGUCCAGAAAACAUGGGAAACAGCAAGUGUUCUUGCAGACUGCGUCGGAGGCACCCGCACGAAUACAAAGCUGACAACAUAGUUUUGCCUGGGCGGAUGCGCAGCAGCCGCACUCCGCCGCGGUGGGGUUAACAUUGAGGCUCAAGAUGACCAGGCACAUGAUCACCAUCAAAGUGGUAGUCCUCUUUCCCUCCAUUGCCUCCUCUUAGCUUGCUGCUACCUUCCUUGGUUACCUAGCUAAGUUUAUUGGUUUUGUGUUGAGAGGUGUGAUUCUUGAAUGGACGUUGCCGGCGGCAAUUUAUAGGCAGCUGAGCUAUGUGAUGAUAUGGACUAGGUGCAAAUGGGUGGUUAAUGGCAAGGAAAGGGGCGUCAGACAAAGCCCAAUGGCAACUGCUGACAUGCGAUUAAAUUCAGAUCCACAUCCGGCCAUUCAAUAAUACGGUUGGAGUUGUGGCACAGAUAUAUUAUUGCAUGAUCAUCAAGAUAAGAUCGUACAGUGACUGAGUGAGACAAUAAAUAGCCAAGUAAACUAUUUUAUCCUGCUGCAAGCUGCAUUCAUAAGUUUAUUUCACCUUUGAUCACAAUACUCUUCACACACGUACGUCUCAGGGAGAUCUCACUUCCGCUGGACUGCUCACUUCCGCUGUCGUCGGUACUGCCAAAGACAUAAGCUCACAUCUGCUAUUGCGGAGCAGGCCAAUUUGCUGCGGAACUUCGGCGACGACCUGAAGGACAUGAACUCGGUGCUGGAGUCCAUCUCAGCAGCGCUCUAGGACGCUGACACCGGUAGAAAAACGACCUUCCAUCGUCAACAAAAAUCCCGGUAGCUUUUUUACUCGGUACUAAAGAGGUUUUAAUCUCGUGCAAACACCUUUAGUCCAGAUUGCUAUUACCACGCAACCCGGACUAAAGCGUCCCCCGCGAGUUAGUAUAUAAGGAUUGCAUCCUUUACUCAGUCAGAUAUAAUAUGUAGGUGAGAUGGUAAGGAAGCUAUGCGUGAGGCUUCAGGUUGUGGGUUCGAAUCCAAGUGGGUGCAGCUGUGGCUUAAGCGGCUGAGGCACGCCGCCAUAGACAUCUCAGAUUUGCUCGAAGACUACCAAGACACUAGUGAACCCUUAACAGUAAAGGUGAGUACUUAUGAAUGUCAGCAUCCAUGUUGUCCAUGCUUCCAAUGUAAUAACAAGAUGGACUACUCUUCCUAGCGGACUCUUCACAACCACUCGUAAAGCUAUGCGUUUCUCAAUGCAAUUUCGUAGAAGCCAAUCGAUCCAACCAAGUGACUAAAUCAUUCGUCCUUUCCAAUGAUGUGCAUCAGGUUUUCUAUAUGAAGGGCAUGUCUAGCAAACCUAAGAUUUCAGAAGAAAAAGAAAAAUCAUUGGAGCCAAAGAGCCACAUAGUUCUUCUAGGAAAAAAAUCAUGGGAGUCGAGAACAUAUCAAACCAAUCAGGGGAUUAUGGUCAGCUUAAUGGCAUGCCUCCAUUCGAUGUCGAAGUUCACCCAAGCAUCAUGUUAGCCAAACAUCAAAUGUUCGUGCGUUGUUACGGUAAAGAUCAAUUGUGUUUUUUAAACUCUUGGAAUUUUUUUAUCUAAGUUUUUAUUUACACUUAUUGGAUGUCUACACAUUUGCUAGAAAACUAAAAUAAUUUGGACUUAAUUAUUUCUUUCAACUGAAGUACUCACUAAAUUUCUACCUUUUUAUUUAAGCAAGAGAGUUGCUAAAAAAAAUGGAUACGUAACCAUGUUGUAUCAUACAAAGUAACCACGUUUCACAUAUAGUCCGGCUUAGCAAACACCAUUGUUUUCUGAACAUAGCGUACAUGAGUUAACAGACAUGGAUUUAUUUCUAUUGCAAGUAGCAUAGCGUACAACCUGCCUGCACCGAUGCAGCUCAAUAUGCGAUAAUUUUUAUCUUCCCAUGUAAUUUUUCUACUCUAGUACAUAUUGAACUCCACAUUAAUGUCAUGUUCUUUCGCGCCCCAGAAGGUUCCUAAAGUUUGGAAACUUAAUAGAUAGCCAGAAUUUUUUUUAAAGAUAUUUAUAUGGAUACUUGUAUGUUCUUUCCAAACUAACAAUAUUGUUUACCAAUAUCAGAAGGAAUAUGGUUAGGAGCCAUUGCCGCAUAUGGCAGGUGAUGGUAGAUGGCGUAUGGGGUUUCGUUAAUUUAAUGGUAUAAUAAGCUGAAAUACAUUUUCUAUUUGCAAAUGAAUCAUAGCUGAAAUUGGUGGGAUUGUUUUUUUCGCCGGUUUAGCAUCCUGUGCACCAGUUCAACCGGAGGGAAGCUGUUUUUUUUCUUUGGUUUUCCACCGGUUCACCGAGACCGAUGACAAUUUUAUGGCAGAAUCAUUACUUGUUUUACUAUUAGGUGAAGAUUUUAGCGUUUAGGUAUCUCACAUUAAACGCAACUUCAACAAUCUAUUUCUAGUGUAUAAUGUAGGAGACCCCGUAAAGAGUCUACACACACAUAUAUGUUGACUAUGAAUGUAAGUUUGUUGGUUUUAUGUAUGUUCGUUUGGAGUUUAUAUAAAUUUUACAUUUUAUAGUUUUGUGUAUAUGACGAAGAUCCAUGACUUGCAUUAAUUUAGCCUUUCUUCCAACAACUCUUAUGCAUGCUGUUUCUAGGCGAGCGUACUGGUUGCAAUUUUGGUCCCCGAUAUAGUGUGAGGACUUAAGGGACACGUGCAGGUCGUAACCUUAGAUAUUUUUGCUGAGAAUGGAUGAAGAAGCAAUAAUAUACUUUGCUUCUGAUUUUCUCCAUGUCAUUUGCUUACUCUUAUCCCUUUUAUUUAUCAUUAUAAGAUGAAAAUAUUGUAAAAACUUGGCUACGUGCGGUCGCAGAAGCUAGAGACUAAAGCGUCCCCCACGAGUUACUAUAUAAAAGGAUUGCAUCCUCUACUCAGUCAUAUGUACUGUGUAGGUGAGAUGGUAAGGAAGCUAUGUGUGAGGCUUGAGGUUGUAGGUUCGAAUCCCACGCACCGCGUGCGCAUGCGCAUAUUUUGCGUGAAAAAUCGCAUGACUUGUGGUCGGCCAAGGAGAAGUGCGUGCGGCUGAGGCACGCCGCCAUAGACAUCUCGGAUUUGCUCCAAGACUACCAAGACACUAGCGAACCCUUAACGGCAAAGUUGAGUACUUACGCGUGUUAGCAUCUAUGUUGUCCAUGCUUCCAAUGCAAUAACAAGAAGGGCUACUCAUCCUAGCGGAUUCUUCACAACCACUCGUAAAGCUAUGCGUUUCUCAAUGCAAUUUCGUAGAUGUCAAUCGAUCCAACCAAGCGACUGAAUCAUUCGUCCUUGCUAAUGAUGUGCAUCAGGUUUUCUAUAUGAAGAACAUGUCUAGCAAAUCCAAGAUUUCAGAAGAAAAAUAAAAAUCAUGAGAACCAAAGCACCACGUAGUUCUUCCAGGUAAAAAAAACAAUCAUCCACUGGGAUGACACACAGUAGCGAUCCAAAACGUCCAUAUUAAGACUUUUUGAUAGCAGAAAAAACAUGAAAAUGUCUAAUAUUUGUAGUAUUAAAAGGAAAAAUAAUAUAUUCACUUGACCUUUUUUUCGUAGCAACGCACCGGUGCGUAGUCAGACUUAGGCCACGUUUGGAUACUCCCUACUAAAGUUUAGCACCUGUCACAUAGGAUGUUUGGAUACUAAUUAGGAGUAUUAAACAUAGGCUAAUUAUAAAACUAAUUGAACAGAUGGAGUCUAAUUUGCGAGACGAAUCUAUUAAGCCUAACUAGUCCAUGAUUUGACAAUGUGGUGCUACAGUAACCAUUUGCUAAUGGUGGAUUAAUUAGGCUUAAUAGAUUCGUCUCGCGAAUUAACAUAGGGUUCUGCAAUUAAUUUUAUAAUUAGCUCAUGUCUAGUCCUUCUAAUUAGCAUCCGAACAUCUGAUAUGAUACUGCUAAAGUUUAUCACCUAGUAUCCAAAUACCCCCUUAAUGCACGAUGCCUGUGCAUCCACUGGGCCUACCCUCGUGGAUCACGCGCUCGUGGAUCACGCGCACCAUGACAUGGCUCAUUAGCUAGUCGUGCUAAUCCUUACCACCAAAUUAAAAACUAGCAUGUGUUGUGUGUUUGUGACCCUAAACGACUACCACCUUCCCGAGUCCACCGGAGUUGCCAGUUCACCACUAAGCUGACUCUCCGAGCUUCAUGUCACUGUCACCGCUCCAAAGACCUAGAUCGGUUCGCUGUGCACCCCGCUUCGUCCUGAGCUAAAUCCCAUCACGAAAGGUGACCGGAUGCUCGUUUUCGAGCGAAUUCUAGCGAGAUUGCCACCACCUUUCCCCUUCCAGCCGAUCGCAGCUGUCUGAUCACAAACCGACAGCCCAGAUCGGAUUUGACCAGGUCAAUACCGGUCAAGCCGAGAUGCAUGCUGCUUUUGCAAGAAGGCCCCUAUUUUUCUCUCUUUUUGCACUUGAGGUCCUACGCAGUUCAAAAGUAAUUAGAUCUAGAUCCUUUUUCUUCUGUUUUAGCCCUGUUCUUUUAUAAAAUCCCACCCGCCAUCCUGUUUGGUAUUUUGACAUGUUAGACCUUCUAUUUAUAUGUUUAAUUAGGUUUUAGCCCUUGGUUUCUUUAAGUUUAGCUCUUGGAAGUUUAGUUUUCUCGCAGUUAAGCCCCUGAACCUUGUUUAGUUCAUAUCUUUAGCGUUUUAAAUCCGUUUUAAGAGAUUCUUACGCCCAUAAGUUCGUGUUGAUGCAUAGAUUAGUUGACUUAUACGGACCUUGCUGAUUCAGCUCCUUCAUUGUGCUUCAGAUCUCGCUAGUGAAGAAUAAUGGAUGGGCUUUGGUUGAGCUUGUAGAUCGACCUGCAGUUGCAGUGAAUGUGCUGAGGACUGGCGGUACCAAUAAUGGGAGGCCGCUGCUCUGCUUGCUACCAAGGCCUGCGACGCUUGGACGCCAUUCAGAGUGCAUAAUUUCCAAGGAUCUCAAGGGCUCCACACCACGUUCCAAGUGUUUUUUCUUUGCCGAGUGUUUUUAGCUCGGCACUUGGCAAAGAGCUUGUUUGCCGAGUGUCCGAAAAAAACACUUGGCAAAGAGAAAACACUCGGCAAAUUUGAUGUUUCCCGUAGUGAUGUACUAUUCAAACUUGAACUGGGAUGCAGGCUUCAGUACCAAAGAGAGCUCUGGGCGCGGGUGAGCAGUGAGCUGGCCGGGCAGGGAGCUCCAAAGCGACAGCAACAAAGAGAGAAAUGCUAAGAGUAAGAACGACACACGAGGUCACUUCACAUAGAUAAUAGCAGUACGAACCAUACAAUAUCCUCUCUCAGUUUCACUCCGCCUCACACACGGCUAGCACACCAUGCAUGCCGAUUUCAUAUUAUUAAUAUUAUUUUUUGGAUGGUUGUUGAAACUAUAUAUAUAGUUAGUCCAAUCUCACGUUUCCGAUUAUAAAAAUCAACGUAAAGAGAUCGGAAGGGAGAGCCGGCAUAAUGAAGCCGACGCGUGUAAUAAGCACCAGAGCCGGCAUUUAUACAAACUGGUACGAAUAGUAAAAAACUAGAAUUUAUAAAUAAAAAAAUGAUUUGCACAUCUAUGCAAUAAUUAGGGGUUAGUGGCAGGUCUAGAGAGAUAUCUCAUCAUUAUAUCCGGUUUAACGAGGAUAAAAAAGAGUGUAUUUUCCACUCAUCAUGUUGUCUUUUCGCAGCGGUACCACUUUUCGUGUGUUGUAUCGGUCCCCUAAUACGGAGUCUCCGAGGCCCGAGAAAAUAAGGAAAGUGAUAGUAGCCCAGAAAUCGGCCAAGUUUCUUUCCCCUUUGGCUUUCCUACUAGGAUUCAGAAUCCUCUUUCGCAUGACAAUCUUAAUUAUCUCCCAUACUCCAAAACUCACAAAAACAUCAAGAUUCCGCUGAGAAUAAAUUUAAGUAAAAAACAUGCACACACAGAUAAUAAUAAUAAUCAUGUUUCCAUAAAAUUGCUAAGUCCAGAGAUAAUACAUAAACAUAGUAGACUGUUCAUGACACAUAUCACGGUGGACAGUGUUUGUGUCCUUAUUACAAGCAACGAGAGAUGCUCGUCACCAACACGCGCGCGCACAGAUGCACGACAUACAUAUAGUAGAGACCAACAGAUGGUCGUCCCAUAUGGUGAACAAUUUAUUGGGGAUAAAUAUUAACGUAACUUGGCCAUAGCUUGAAGCAUAGCAACAUAUGCCUAUGAGUGGCAUUCAUGCUAUCGUUUUAGGCUUGUCCAGCUCCUUCCAUCUUAGCAAGCACUUCCAUUUCUACCAUCUUAGCAGCAACUGUCAAAUUGAGAUACGGAAAUCCCAUUAGCGCAUGAGUUAAUUUUGCAGUGGAAAUAGAGUACAAGAUGUCUUCAUGAUGUAAGUAAUAUGCCUGAAGUUGUGAGAUGGGAAGUGAAGUCAACAAAUUACAUUAACGGAAAUGCAUGGAAGGCCACACAUACGUAUUAGUCCAUGAUAUGCUACAAAGCUUGUAUGUACAUAUAGCAAAUUAAAUGCAUUAAUUGAAUAGAGUGUGUUUAGUGAAUUUACCAGAAUCGUCCAGAAAACAUGGGAAACAGCAAGUGUUCUUGCAGACUGCGUCGGAGGCACCCGCACGAAUACAAAGCUGACAACAUAGUUUUGCCUGGGCGGAUGCGCAGCAGCCGCACUCCGCCGCGGUGGGGUUAACAUUGAGGCUCAAGAUGACCAGGCACAUGAUCACCAUCAAAGUGGUAGUCCUCUUUCCCUCCAUUGCCUCCUCUUAGCUUGCUGCUACCUUCCUUGGUUACCUAGCUAAGUUUAUUGGUUUUGUGUUGAGAGGUGUGAUUUUUGAAUGGACGUUGCCGGCGGCAAUUUAUAGGCAGCUGAGCUAUGUGAUGAUAUGGACUAGGUGCAAAUGGGUGGUUAAUGGCAAGGAAAGGGGCGUCAGACAAAGCCCAAUGGCAACUGCUGACAUGCGAUUAAAUUCAGAUCCACAUCCGGCCAUUCAAUAAUACGGUUGGAGUUGUGGCACAGAUAUAUUAUUGCAUGAUCAUCAAGAUAAGAUCGUACAGUGACUGAGUGAGACAAUAAAUAGCCAAGUAAACUAUUUUAUCCUGCUGCAAGCUGCAUUCAUAAGUUUAUUUCACCUUUGAUCACAAUACUCUUCACACACGUACGUCUCAGGGAGAUCUCACUUCCGCUGGACUGCUCACUUCCGCUGUCGUCGGUACUGCCAAAGACAUAAGCUCACAUCUGCUAUUGCGGAGCAGGCCAAUUUGCUGCGGAACUUCGGCGACGACCUGAAGGACAUGAACUCGGUGCUGGAGUCCAUCUCAGCAGCGCUCUAGGACGCUGACACCGGUAGAAAAACGACCUUCCAUCGUCAACAAAAAUCCCGGUAGCUUUUUUACUCGGUACUAAAGAGGUUUUAAUCUCGUGCAAACACCUUUAGUCCAGAUUGCUAUUACCACGCAACCCGGACUAAAGCGUCCCCCGCGAGUUAGUAUAUAAGGAUUGCAUCCUUUACUCAGUCAGAUAUAAUAUGUAGGUGAGAUGGUAAGGAAGCUAUGCGUGAGGCUUCAGGUUGUGGGUUCGAAUCCAAGUGGGUGCAGCUGUGGCUUAAGCGGCUGAGGCACGCCGCCAUAGACAUCUCAGAUUUGCUCGAAGACUACCAAGACACUAGUGAACCCUUAACAGUAAAGGUGAGUACUUAUGAAUGUCAGCAUCCAUGUUGUCCAUGCUUCCAAUGUAAUAACAAGAUGGACUACUCUUCCUAGCGGACUCUUCACAACCACUCGUAAAGCUAUGCGUUUCUCAAUGCAAUUUCGUAGAAGCCAAUCGAUCCAACCAAGUGACUAAAUCAUUCGUCCUUUCCAAUGAUGUGCAUCAGGUUUUCUAUAUGAAGGGCAUGUCUAGCAAACCUAAGAUUUCAGAAGAAAAAGAAAAAUCAUUGGAGCCAAAGAGCCACAUAGUUCUUCUAGGAAAAAAAUCAUGGGAGUCGAGAACAUAUCAAACCAAUCAGGGGAUUAUGGUCAGCUUAAUGGCAUGCCUCCAUUCGAUGUCGAAGUUCACCCAAGCAUCAUGUUAGCCAAACAUCAAAUGUUCGUGCGUUGUUACGGUAAAGAUCAAUUGUGUUUUUUAAACUCUUGGAAUUUUUUUAUCUAAGUUUUUAUUUACACUUAUUGGAUGUCUACACAUUUGCUAGAAAACUAAAAUAAUUUGGACUUAAUUAUUUCUUUCAACUGAAGUACUCACUAAAUUUCUACCUUUUUAUUUAAGCAAGAGAGUUGCUAAAAAAAAUGGAUACGUAACCAUGUUGUAUCAUACAAAGUAACCACGUUUCACAUAUAGUCCGGCUUAGCAAACACCAUUGUUUUCUGAACAUAGCGUACAUGAGUUAACAGACAUGGAUUUAUUUCUAUUGCAAGUAGCAUAGCGUACAACCUGCCUGCACCGAUGCAGCUCAAUAUGCGAUAAUUUUUAUCUUCCCAUGUAAUUUUUCUACUCUAGUACAUAUUGAACUCCACAUUAAUGUCAUGUUCUUUCGCGCCCCAGAAGGUUCCUAAAGUUUGGAAACUUAAUAGAUAGCCAGAAUUUUUUUUAAAGAUAUUUAUAUGGAUACUUGUAUGUUCUUUCCAAACUAACAAUAUUGUUUACCAAUAUCAGAAGGAAUAUGGUUAGGAGCCAUUGCCGCAUAUGGCAGGUGAUGGUAGAUGGCGUAUGGGGUUUCGUUAAUUUAAUGGUAUAAUAAGCUGAAAUACAUUUUCUAUUUGCAAAUGAAUCAUAGCUGAAAUUGGUGGGAUUGUUUUUUCGCCGGUUUAGCAUCCUGUGCACCAGUUCAACCGGAGGGAAGCUGUUUUUUUUCUUUGGUUUUCCACCGGUUCACCGAGACCGAUGACAAUUUUAUGGCAGAAUCAUUACUUGUUUUACUAUUAGGUGAAGAUUUUAGCGUUUAGGUAUCUCACAUUAAACGCAACUUCAACAAUCUAUUUCUAGUGUAUAAUGUAGGAGACCCCGUAAAGAGUCUACACACACAUAUAUGUUGACUAUGAAUGUAAGUUUGUUGGUUUUAUGUAUGUUCGUUUGGAGUUUAUAUAAAUUUUACAUUUUAUAGUUUUGUGUAUAUGACGAAGAUCCAUGACUUGCAUUAAUUUAGCCUUUCUUCCAACAACUCUUAUGCAUGCUGUUUCUAGGCGAGCGUACUGGUUGCAAUUUUGGUCCCCGAUAUAGUGUGAGGACUUAAGGGACACGUGCAGGUCGUAACCUUAGAUAUUUUUGCUGAGAAUGGAUGAAGAAGCAAUAAUAUACUUUGCUUCUGAUUUUCUCCAUGUCAUUUGCUUACUCUUAUCCCUUUUAUUUAUCAUUAUAAGAUGAAAAUAUUGUAAAAACUUGGCUACGUGCGGUCGCAGAAGCUAGAGACUAAAGCGUCCCCCACGAGUUACUAUAUAAAAGGAUUGCAUCCUCUACUCAGUCAUAUGUACUGUGUAGGUGAGAUGGUAAGGAAGCUAUGUGUGAGGCUUGAGGUUGUAGGUUCGAAUCCCACGCACCGCGUGCGCAUGCGCAUAUUUUGCGUGAAAAAUCGCAUGACUUGUGGUCGGCCAAGGAGAAGUGCGUGCGGCUGAGGCACGCCGCCAUAGACAUCUCGGAUUUGCUCCAAGACUACCAAGACACUAGCGAACCCUUAACGGCAAAGUUGAGUACUUACGCGUGUUAGCAUCUAUGUUGUCCAUGCUUCCAAUGCAAUAACAAGAAGGGCUACUCAUCCUAGCGGAUUCUUCACAACCACUCGUAAAGCUAUGCGUUUCUCAAUGCAAUUUCGUAGAUGUCAAUCGAUCCAACCAAGCGACUGAAUCAUUCGUCCUUGCUAAUGAUGUGCAUCAGGUUUUCUAUAUGAAGAACAUGUCUAGCAAAUCCAAGAUUUCAGAAGAAAAAUAAAAAUCAUGAGAACCAAAGCACCACGUAGUUCUUCCAGGUAAAAAAAACAAUCAUCCACUGGGAUGACACACAGUAGCGAUCCAAAACGUCCAUAUUAAGACUUUUUGAUAGCAGAAAAAACAUGAAAAUGUCUAAUAUUUGUAGUAUUAAAAGGAAAAAUAAUAUAUUCACUUGACCUUUUUUUCGUAGCAACGCACCGGUGCGUAGUCAGACUUAGGCCACGUUUGGAUACUCCCUACUAAAGUUUAGCACCUGUCACAUAGGAUGUUUGGAUACUAAUUAGGAGUAUUAAACAUAGGCUAAUUAUAAAACUAAUUGAAUAGAUGGAGUCUAAUUUGCGAGACGAAUCUAUUAAGCCUAACUAGUCCAUGAUUUGACAAUGUGGUGCUACAGUAACCAUUUGCUAAUGGUGGAUUAAUUAGGCUUAAUAGAUUCGUCUCGCGAAUUAACAUAGGGUUCUGCAAUUAAUUUUAUAAUUAGCUCAUGUCUAGUCCUUCUAAUUAGCAUCCGAACAUCUGAUAUGAUACUGCUAAAGUUUAUCACCUAGUAUCCAAAUACCCCCUUAAUGCACGAUGCCUGUGCAUCCACUGGGCCUACCCUCGUGGAUCACGCGCUCGUGGAUCACGCGCACCAUGACAUGGCUCAUUAGCUAGUCGUGCUAAUCCUUACCACCAAAUUAAAAACUAGCAUGUGUUGUGUGUUUGUGACCCUAAACGACUACCACCUUCCCGAGUCCACCGGAGUUGCCAGUUCACCACUAAGCUGACUCUCCGAGCUUCAUGUCACUGUCACCGCUCCAAAGACCUAGAUCGGUUCGCUGUGCACCCCGCUUCGUCCUGAGCUAAAUCCCAUCACGAAAGGUGACCGGAUGCUCGUUUUCGAGCGAAUUCUAGCGAGAUUGCCACCACCUUUCCCCUUCCAGCCGAUCGCAGCUGUCUGAUCACAAACCGACAGCCCAGAUCGGAUUUGACCAGGUCAAUACCGGUCAAGCCGAGAUGCAUGCUGCUUUUGCAAGAAGGCCCCUAUUUUUCUCUCGUUUUGCACUUGAGGUCCUACGCAGUUCAAAAGUAAUUAGAUCUAGAUCCUUUUUCUUCUGUUUUAGCCCUGUUCUUUUAUAAAAUCCCACCCGCCAUCCUGUUUGGUAUUUUGACAUGUUAGACCUUCUAUUUAUAUGUUUAAUUAGGUUUUAGCCCUUGGUUUCUUUAAGUUUAGCUCUUGGAAGUUUAGUUUUCUCGCAGUUAAGCCCCUGAACCUUGUUUAGUUCAUAUCUUUAGCGUUUUAAAUCCGUUUUAAGAGAUUCUUACGCCCAUAAGUUCGUGUUGAUGCAUAGAUUAGUUGACUUAUACGGACCUUGCUGAUUCAGCUCCUUCAUUGUGCUUCAGAUCUCGCUAGUGAAGAAUAAUGGAUGGGCUUUGGUUGAGCUUGUAGAUCGACCUGCAGUUGCAGUGAAUGUGCUGAGGACUGGCGGUACCAAUAAUGGGAGGCCGCUGCUCUGCUUGCUACCAAGGCCUGCGACGCUUGGACGCCAUUCAGAGUGCAUAAUUUCCAAGGAUCUCAAGGGCUCCACACCACGUUCCAAGUGUUUUUUCUUUGCCGAGUGUUUUUAGCUCGGCACUUGGCAAAGAGCUUGUUUGCCGAGUGUCCGAAAAAAACACUUGGCAAAGAGAAAACACUCGGCAAAUUUGAUGUUUCCCGUAGUGAUGUACUAUUCAAACUUGAACUGGGAUGCAGGCUUCAGUACCAAAGAGAGCUCUGGGCGCGGGUGAGCAGUGAGCUGGCCGGGCAGGGAGCUCCAAAGCGACAGCAACAAAGAGAGAAAUGCUAAGAGUAAGAACGACACACGAGGUCACUUCACAUAGAUAAUAGCAGUACGAACCAUACAAUAUCCUCUCUCAGUUUCACUCCGCCUCACACACGGCUAGCACACCAUGCAUGCCGAUUUCAUAUUAUUAAUAUUAUUUUUUGGAUGGUUGUUGAAACUAUAUAUAUAGUUAGUCCAAUCUCACGUUUCCGAUUAUAAAAAUCAACGUAAAGAGAUCGGUAGGGAGAGCCGGCAUAAUGAAGCCGACGCGUGUAAUAAGCACCAGAGCCGGCAUUUAUACAAACUGGUACGAAUAGUAAAAAACUAGAAUUUAUAAAUAAAAAAAUGAUUUGCACAUCUAUGCAAUAAUUAGGGGUUAGUGGCAGGUCUAGAGAGAUAUCUCAUCAUUAUAUCCGGUUUAACGAGGAUAAAAAAGAGUGUAUUUUCCACUCAUCAUGUUGUCUUUUCGCAGCGGUACCACUUUUCGUGUGUUGUAUCGGUCCCCUAAUACGGAGUCUCCGAGGCCCGAGAAAAUAAGGAAAGUGAUAGUAGCCCAGAAAUCGGCCAAGUUUCUUUCCCCUUUGGCUUUCCUACUAGGAUUCAGAAUCCUCUUUCGCAUGACAAUCUUAAUUAUCUCCCAUACUCCAAAACUCACAAAAACAUCAAGAGUCCGCUGAGAAUAAAUUUAAGUAAAAAACAUGCACACACAGAUAAUAAUAAUAAUCAUGUUUCCAUAAAAUUGCUAAGUCCAGAGAUAAUACAUAAACAUAGUAGACUGUUCAUGACACAUAUCACGGUGGACAGUGUUUGUGUCCUUAUUACAAGCAACGAGAGAUGCUCGUCACCAACACGCGCGCGCACAGAUGCACGACAUACAUAUAGUAGAGACCAACAGAUGGUCGUCCCAUAUGGUGAACAAUUUAUUGGAGAUAAAUAUUAACGUAACUUGGCCAUAGCUUGAAGCAUAGCAACAUAUGCCUAUGAGUGGCAUUCAUGCUAUCGUUUUAGGCUUGUCCAGCUCCUUCCAUCUUAGCAAGCACUUCCAUUUCUACCAUCUUAGCAGCAACUGUCAAAUUGAGAUACGGAAAUCCCAUUAGCGCAUGAGUUAAUUUUGCAGUGGAAAUAGAGUACAAGAUGUCUUCAUGAUGUAAGUAAUAUGCCUGAAGUUGUGAGAUGGGAAGUGAAGUCAACAAAUUACAUUAACGGAAAUGCAUGGAAGGCCACACAUACGUAUUAGUCCAUGAUAUGCUACAAAGCUUGUAUGUACAUAUAGCAAAUUAAAUGCAUUAAUUGAAUAGAGUGUGUUUAGUGAAUUUACCAGAAUCGUCCAGAAAACAUGGGAAACAGCAAGUGUUCUUGCAGACUGCGUCGGAGGCACCCGCACGAAUACAAAGCUGACAACAUAGUUUUGCCUGGGCGGAUGCGCAGCAGCCGCACUCCGCCGCGGUGGGGUUAACAUUGAGGCUCAAGAUGACCAGGCACAUGAUCACCAUCAAAGUGGUAGUCCUCUUUCCCUCCAUUGCCUCCUCUUAGCUUGCUGCUACCUUCCUUGGUUACCUAGCUAAGUUUAUUGGUUUUGUGUUGAGAGGUGUGAUUCUUGAAUGGACGUUGCCGGCGGCAAUUUAUAGGCAGCUGAGCUAUGUGAUGAUAUGGACUAGGUGCAAAUGGGUGGUUAAUGGCAAGGAAAGGGGCGUCAGACAAAGCCCAAUGGCAACUGCUGACAUGCGAUUAAAUUCAGAUCCACAUCCGGCCAUUCAAUAAUACGGUUGGAGUUGUGGCACAGAUAUAUUAUUGCAUGAUCAUCAAGAUAAGAUCGUACAGUGACUGAGUGAGACAAUAAAUAGCCAAGUAAACUAUUUUAUCCUGCUGCAAGCUGCAUUCAUAAGUUUAUUUCACCUUUGAUCACAAUACUCUUCACACACGUACGUCUCAGGGAGAUCUCACUUCCGCUGGACUGCUCACUUCCGCUGUCGUCGGUACUGCCAAAGACAUAAGCUCACAUCUGCUAUUGCGGAGCAGGCCAAUUUGCUGCGGAACUUCGGCGACGACCUGAAGGACAUGAACUCGGUGCUGGAGUCCAUCUCAGCAGCGCUCUAGGACGCUGACACCGGUAGAAAAACGACCUUCCAUCGUCAACAAAAAUCCCGGUAGCUUUUUUACUCGGUACUAAAGAGGUUUUAAUCUCGUGCAAACACCUUUAGUCCAGAUUGCUAUUACCACGCAACCCGGACUAAAGCGUCCCCCGCGAGUUAGUAUAUAAGGAUUGCAUCCUUUACUCAGUCAGAUAUAAUAUGUAGGUGAGAUGGUAAGGAAGCUAUGCGUGAGGCUUCAGGUUGUGGGUUCGAAUCCAAGUGGGUGCAGCUGUGGCUUAAGCGGCUGAGGCACGCCGCCAUAGACAUCUCAGAUUUGCUCGAAGACUACCAAGACACUAGUGAACCCUUAACAGUAAAGGUGAGUACUUAUGAAUGUCAGCAUCCAUGUUGUCCAUGCUUCCAAUGUAAUAACAAGAUGGACUACUCUUCCUAGCGGACUCUUCACAACCACUCGUAAAGCUAUGCGUUUCUCAAUGCAAUUUCGUAGAAGCCAAUCGAUCCAACCAAGUGACUAAAUCAUUCGUCCUUUCCAAUGAUGUGCAUCAGGUUUUCUAUAUGAAGGGCAUGUCUAGCAAACCUAAGAUUUCAGAAGAAAAAGAAAAAUCAUUGGAGCCAAAGAGCCACAUAGUUCUUCUAGGAAAAAAAUCAUGGGAGUCGAGAACAUAUCAAACCAAUCAGGGGAUUAUGGUCAGCUUAAUGGCAUGCCUCCAUUCGAUGUCGAAGUUCACCCAAGCAUCAUGUUAGCCAAACAUCAAAUGUUCGUGCGUUGUUACGGUAAAGAUCAAUUGUGUUUUUUAAACUCUUGGAAUUUUUUUAUCUAAGUUUUUAUUUACACUUAUUGGAUGUCUACACAUUUGCUAGAAAACUAAAAUAAUUUGGACUUAAUUAUUUCUUUCAACUGAAGUACUCACUAAAUUUCUACCUUUUUAUUUAAGCAAGAGAGUUGCUAAAAAAAAUGGAUACGUAACCAUGUUGUAUCAUACAAAGUAACCACGUUUCACAUAUAGUCCGGCUUAGCAAACACCAUUGUUUUCUGAACAUAGCGUACAUGAGUUAACAGACAUGGAUUUAUUUCUAUUGCAAGUAGCAUAGCGUACAACCUGCCUGCACCGAUGCAGCUCAAUAUGCGAUAAUUUUUAUCUUCCCAUGUAAUUUUUCUACUCUAGUACAUAUUGAACUCCACAUUAAUGUCAUGUUCUUUCGCGCCCCAGAAGGUUCCUAAAGUUUGGAAACUUAAUAGAUAGCCAGAAUUUUUUUUAAAGAUAUUUAUAUGGAUACUUGUAUGUUCUUUCCAAACUAACAAUAUUGUUUACCAAUAUCAGAAGGAAUAUGGUUAGGAGCCAUUGCCGCAUAUGGCAGGUGAUGGUAGAUGGCGUAUGGGGUUUCGUUAAUUUAAUGGUAUAAUAAGCUGAAAUACAUUUUCUAUUUGCAAAUGAAUCAUAGCUGAAAUUGGUGGGAUUGUUUUUUCGCCGGUUUAGCAUCCUGUGCACCAGUUCAACCGGAGGGAAGCUGUUUUUUUUCUUUGGUUUUCCACCGGUUCACCGAGACCGAUGACAAUUUUAUGGCAGAAUCAUUACUUGUUUUACUAUUAGGUGAAGAUUUUAGCGUUUAGGUAUCUCACAUUAAACGCAACUUCAACAAUCUAUUUCUAGUGUAUAAUGUAGGAGACCCCGUAAAGAGUCUACACACACAUAUAUGUUGACUAUGAAUGUAAGUUUGUUGGUUUUAUGUAUGUUCGUUUGGAGUUUAUAUAAAUUUUACAUUUUAUAGUUUUGUGUAUAUGACGAAGAUCCAUGACUUGCAUUAAUUUAGCCUUUCUUCCAACAACUCUUAUGCAUGAUGUUUCUAGGCGAGCGUACUGGUUGCAAUUUUGGUCCCCGAUAUAGUGUGAGGACUUAAGGGACACGUGCAGGUCGUAACCUUAGAUAUUUUUGCUGAGAAUGGAUGAAGAAGCAAUAAUAUACUUUGCUUCUGAUUUUCUCCAUGUCAUUUGCUUACUCUUAUCCCUUUUAUUUAUCAUUAUAAGAUGAAAAUAUUGUAAAAACUUGGCUACGUGCGGUCGCAGAAGCUAGAGACUAAAGCGUCCCCCACGAGUUACUAUAUAAAAGGAUUGCAUCCUCUACUCAGUCAUAUGUACUGUGUAGGUGAGAUGGUAAGGAAGCUAUGUGUGAGGCUUGAGGUUGUAGGUUCGAAUCCCACGCACCGCGUGCGCAUGCGCAUAUUUUGCGUGAAAAAUCGCAUGACUUGUGGUCGGCCAAGGAGAAGUGCGUGCGGCUGAGGCACGCCGCCAUAGACAUCUCGGAUUUGCUCCAAGACUACCAAGACACUAGCGAACCCUUAACGGCAAAGUUGAGUACUUACGCGUGUUAGCAUCUAUGUUGUCCAUGCUUCCAAUGCAAUAACAAGAAGGGCUACUCAUCCUAGCGGAUUCUUCACAACCACUCGUAAAGCUAUGCGUUUCUCAAUGCAAUUUCGUAGAUGUCAAUCGAUCCAACCAAGCGACUGAAUCAUUCGUCCUUGCUAAUGAUGUGCAUCAGGUUUUCUAUAUGAAGAACAUGUCUAGCAAAUCCAAGAUUUCAGAAGAAAAAUAAAAAUCAUGAGAACCAAAGCACCACGUAGUUCUUCCAGGUAAAAAAAACAAUCAUCCACUGGGAUGACACACAGUAGCGAUCCAAAACGUCCAUAUUAAGACUUUUUGAUAGCAGAAAAAACAUGAAAAUGUCUAAUAUUUGUAGUAUUAAAAGGAAAAAUAAUAUAUUCACUUGACCUUUUUUUCGUAGCAACGCACCGGUGCGUAGUCAGACUUAGGCCACGUUUGGAUACUCCCUACUAAAGUUUAGCACCUGUCACAUAGGAUGUUUGGAUACUAAUUAGGAGUAUUAAACAUAGGCUAAUUAUAAAACUAAUUGAACAGAUGGAGUCUAAUUUGCGAGACGAAUCUAUUAAGCCUAACUAGUCCAUGAUUUGACAAUGUGGUGCUACAGUAACCAUUUGCUAAUGGUGGAUUAAUUAGGCUUAAUAGAUUCGUCUCGCGAAUUAACAUAGGGUUCUGCAAUUAAUUUUAUAAUUAGCUCAUGUCUAGUCCUUCUAAUUAGCAUCCGAACAUCUGAUAUGAUACUGCUAAAGUUUAUCACCUAGUAUCCAAAUACCCCCUUAAUGCACGAUGCCUGUGCAUCCACUGGGCCUACCCUCGUGGAUCACGCGCUCGUGGAUCACGCGCACCAUGACAUGGCUCAUUAGCUAGUCGUGCUAAUCCUUACCACCAAAUUAAAAACUAGCAUGUGUUGUGUGUUUGUGACCCUAAACGACUACCACCUUCCCGAGUCCACCGGAGUUGCCAGUUCACCACUAAGCUGACUCUCCGAGCUUCAUGUCACUGUCACCGCUCCAAAGACCUAGAUCGGUUCGCUGUGCACCCCGCUUCGUCCUGAGCUAAAUCCCAUCACGAAAGGUGACCGGAUGCUCGUUUUCGAGCGAAUUCUAGCGAGAUUGCCACCACCUUUCCCCUUCCAGCCGAUCGCAGCUGUCUGAUCACAAACCGACAGCCCAGAUCGGAUUUGACCAGGUCAAUACCGGUCAAGCCGAGAUGCAUGCUGCUUUUGCAAGAAGGCCCCUAUUUUUCUCUCUUUUUGCACUUGAGGUCCUACGCAGUUCAAAAGUAAUUAGAUCUAGAUCCUUUUUCUUCUGUUUUAGCCCUGUUCUUUUAUAAAAUCCCACCCGCCAUCCUGUUUGGUAUUUUGACAUGUUAGACCUUCUAUUUAUAUGUUUAAUUAGGUUUUAGCCCUUGGUUUCUUUAAGUUUAGCUCUUGGAAGUUUAGUUUUCUCGCAGUUAAGCCCCUGAACCUUGUUUAGUUCAUAUCUUUAGCGUUUUAAAUCCGUUUUAAGAGAUUCUUACGCCCAUAAGUUCGUGUUGAUGCAUAGAUUAGUUGACUUAUACGGACCUUGCUGAUUCAGCUCCUUCAUUGUGCUUCAGAUCUCGCUAGUGAAGAAUAAUGGAUGGGCUUUGGUUGAGCUUGUAGAUCGACCUGCAGUUGCAGUGAAUGUGCUGAGGACUGGCGGUACCAAUAAUGGGAGGCCGCUGCUCUGCUUGCUACCAAGGCCUGCGACGCUUGGACGCCAUUCAGAGUGCAUAAUUUCCAAGGAUCUCAAGGGCUCCACACCACGUUCCAAGUGUUUUUUCUUUGCCGAGUGUUUUUAGCUCGGCACUUGGCAAAGAGCUUGUUUGCCGAGUGUCCGAAAAAAACACUUGGCAAAGAGAAAACACUCGGCAAAUUUGAUGUUUCCCGUAGUGAUGUACUAUUCAAACUUGAACUGGGAUGCAGGCUUCAGUACCAAAGAGAGCUCUGGGCGCGGGUGAGCAGUGAGCUGGCCGGGCAGGGAGCUCCAAAGCGACAGCAACAAAGAGAGAAAUGCUAAGAGUAAGAACGACACACGAGGUCACUUCACAUAGAUAAUAGCAGUACGAACCAUACAAUAUCCUCUCUCAGUUUCACUCCGCCUCACACACGGCUAGCACACCAUGCAUGCCGAUUUCAUAUUAUUAAUAUUAUUUUUUGGAUGGUUGUUGAAACUAUAUAUAUAGUUAGUCCAAUCUCACGUUUCCGAUUAUAAAAAUCAACGUAAAGAGAUCGGUAGGGAGAGCCGGCAUAAUGAAGCCGACGCGUGUAAUAAGCACCAGAGCCGGCAUUUAUACAAACUGGUACGAAUAGUAAAAAACUAGAAUUUAUAAAUAAAAAAAUGAUUUGCACAUCUAUGCAAUAAUUAGGGGUUAGUGGCAGGUCUAGAGAGAUAUCUCAUCAUUAUAUCCGGUUUAACGAGGAUAAAAAAGAGUGUAUUUUCCACUCAUCAUGUUGUCUUUUCGCAGCGGUACCACUUUUCGUGUGUUGUAUCGGUCCCCUAAUACGGAGUCUCCGAGGCCCGAGAAAAUAAGGAAAGUGAUAGUAGCCCAGAAAUCGGCCAAGUUUCUUUCCCCUUUGGCUUUCCUACUAGGAUUCAGAAUCCUCUUUCGCAUGACAAUCUUAAUUAUCUCCCAUACUCCAAAACUCACAAAAACAUCAAGAGUCCGCUGAGAAUAAAUUUAAGUAAAAAACAUGCACACACAGAUAAUAAUAAUAAUCAUGUUUCCAUAAAAUUGCUAAGUCCAGAGAUAAUACAUAAACAUAGUAGACUGUUCAUGACACAUAUCACGGUGGACAGUGUUUGUGUCCUUAUUACAAGCAACGAGAGAUGCUCGUCACCAACACGCGCGCGCACAGAUGCACGACAUACAUAUAGUAGAGACCAACAGAUGGUCGUCCCAUAUGGUGAACAAUUUAUUGGAGAUAAAUAUUAACGUAACUUGGCCAUAGCUUGAAGCAUAGCAACAUAUGCCUAUGAGUGGCAUUCAUGCUAUCGUUUUAGGCUUGUCCAGCUCCUUCCAUCUUAGCAAGCACUUCCAUUUCUACCAUCUUAGCAGCAACUGUCAAAUUGAGAUACGGAAAUCCCAUUAGCGCAUGAGUUAAUUUUGCAGUGGAAAUAGAGUACAAGAUGUCUUCAUGAUGUAAGUAAUAUGCCUGAAGUUGUGAGAUGGGAAGUGAAGUCAACAAAUUACAUUAACGGAAAUGCAUGGAAGGCCACACAUACGUAUUAGUCCAUGAUAUGCUACAAAGCUUGUAUGUACAUAUAGCAAAUUAAAUGCAUUAAUUGAAUAGAGUGUGUUUAGUGAAUUUACCAGAAUCGUCCAGAAAACAUGGGAAACAGCAAGUGUUCUUGCAGACUGCGUCGGAGGCACCCGCACGAAUACAAAGCUGACAACAUAGUUUUGCCUGGGCGGAUGCGCAGCAGCCGCACUCCGCCGCGGUGGGGUUAACAUUGAGGCUCAAGAUGACCAGGCACAUGAUCACCAUCAAAGUGGUAGUCCUCUUUCCCUCCAUUGCCUCCUCUUAGCUUGCUGCUACCUUCCUUGGUUACCUAGCUAAGUUUAUUGGUUUUGUGUUGAGAGGUGUGAUUCUUGAAUGGACGUUGCCGGCGGCAAUUUAUAGGCAGCUGAGCUAUGUGAUGAUAUGGACUAGGUGCAAAUGGGUGGUUAAUGGCAAGGAAAGGGGCGUCAGACAAAGCCCAAUGGCAACUGCUGACAUGCGAUUAAAUUCAGAUCCACAUCCGGCCAUUCAAUAAUACGGUUGGAGUUGUGGCACAGAUAUAUUAUUGCAUGAUCAUCAAGAUAAGAUCGUACAGUGACUGAGUGAGACAAUAAAUAGCCAAGUAAACUAUUUUAUCCUGCUGCAAGCUGCAUUCAUAAGUUUAUUUCACCUUUGAUCACAAUACUCUUCACACACGUACGUCUCAGGGAGAUCUCACUUCCGCUGGACUGCUCACUUCCGCUGUCGUCGGUACUGCCAAAGACAUAAGCUCACAUCUGCUAUUGCGGAGCAGGCCAAUUUGCUGCGGAACUUCGGCGACGACCUGAAGGACAUGAACUCGGUGCUGGAGUCCAUCUCAGCAGCGCUCUAGGACGCUGACACCGGUAGAAAAACGACCUUCCAUCGUCAACAAAAAUCCCGGUAGCUUUUUUACUCGGUACUAAAGAGGUUUUAAUCUCGUGCAAACACCUUUAGUCCGGAUUGCUGUUACCACGCAACCCGAACUAAAGCGUCCCCCACGAGUUACUAUAUAAGGAUUGCAUCCUUUACUCAGUCAGAUAUAAUGUGUAGGUGAGAUGGUAAGGAAGCUAUACGUGAGGCUUCAGGUUGUGGGUUCGAAUCCAAGGAGAAGUGGGUGCAGCUGUGGCUUAAGCGGCUGAGGCACGCCGCCAUAGACAUCUCAGAUUUGCUCGAAGACUACCAAGACACUAGUGAACCCUUAACAGUAAAGGUGAGUACUUAUGAAUGUCAGCAUCCAUGUUGUCCAUGCUUCCAAUGUAAUAACAAGAUGGACUACUCUUCCUAGCGGACUCUUCACAACCACUCGUAAAGCUAUACGUUUCUCAAUGCAAUUUCGUAGAAGCCAAUCGAUCCAACCAAGUGACUAAAUCAUUCAUCCUUUCCAAUGAUGUGCAUCAGGUUUUCUACAUGAAGGGCAUCUCUAGCAAACCCAAGAUUUCAGAAGAAAAAGAAAAAUCAUUGGAGCCAAAGAGCCACAUAGUUCUUCCAGGAAAAAAAAAUCAUGGGAGUCGAGAACAAAUCAAACCAAUCAGAGGAUUAUGGUCAGCUUAAUGGCAUGCCUCCAUUCGAUGUCGAAGUUCACCCAAGCAUCAUGUUAGCCAAACAUCAAAUGUUCGUGCGUUGUUACGGUAAAGAUCAAUUGUGUUUUUUAAACUCAUGGAAUUUUUUUUCUAAGUUUUUAUUACACUUAUUGGAUGUCUACACAUUUGCUAGAAAACCAAAAUAAUUUGGACUUAAUUAUUUCUUUCAACUGAAGUACUCACUAAAUUUCUACCUUUUUAUUUAAGCAAGAGAGUUGCUAAAAAAAAUGGAUACAUAACCAUGUUGUAUCGUACAAAGCAACCACAUUUCACAUAUAGUCCGGCUUACCAAACACCAUUUUUUACUGAACAUAGCGUACAUGAGUUAAGAGACAUGGAUUUAUUUCUAUUGCAAGUAGCAUAGCGUACAACCUGCCUGCACCGAUGCAGCUCAAUAUGCGAUAAUUUUUAUCUUCCCAUGUAAUUUUUCUACUCUAGUACAUAUUGAACUCCACAUUAAUGUCAUGUUCUUUGGCGCCCCAGACGGUUCCUAAAGUUUGGAAACAAAAUAGAUAGCCAGAAAUUUUUUUAAAAAAUAUUUAUAUGGAUAUUUGUAUGUUCUUUGCAAACUAACAAUAUUGUUUACCAAUAUCAAAAGGAAUAUGGCUAGGAGCCAUUGCCGCAUAUGGCAGGUGAUGGUAGAUGGCGUAUGGGAUUUCGUUAAUUUAAUGGUAUAAUAAGCUGAAAUACAUUUUCUAUUUGCAAAUGAAUCAUAGCUGAAAGUGGUGAGAUUGUUUUUUCGCCGGUUUAGCAUCCUGUGCACCGGUUCAACUGGAGGGAAGCGGUUCACCGAGACGGAUGACAAUUUUACGGCAGAAUCAUUACUUGUUUUAUUAUUAGGUGAAGAUUUUAGCUUUUAGGUAUCUCACAUUAACAAUCUGUUUCUAGUGUAUAAUGUAGGAGACCCGUAAAGAGUCUACACACACAUAUAUAUGUUGACUAUGAAUGUAAGUUUGUUGGUUUUAUGUAUGUUCAUUUGGAGUUUAUAUAAAUUUUACAUUUUAUAGUUUUGUGUAUAUGACGAAGAUCCAUGACUUGCAUUAAUUUAACCUUUCUUCCAACAACUCUUAUGCAUGCUGUUUCUAGGGGAGCGCACUGGUUGCAAUUUUGGUCCCCGAUAUAGCAUGAGGACUUAAGGGAGACGGGCACGUCGUAACCUUAGAUAUUUUUGCAAGAAGCAAAUUAUACUUUGCUUUUGAUUUUCUCCAUGCCAUUUGCUGACUCUUAUCCCUUUUAUUUAUCAUUAUAAGAUGAAAAUAUUGUAAAAACUUGGUUACGUGCGGUCGCAGAAGCUAGAGACUAUUUCUUUUUUUAAAAAUACGCAAGAGGGAGAAACUUGGUAACAGCUAGACAGUGAAGAUCGCAUUUCAUAAGAAAGAUGGUGCACGUUCUUGUUUGGCUGUUAACGAAAUGACUUCGUUUCACCACACCACCAGAGAGCCCCAUUGCACUUGCAGCAAAAGCGUGGAGCCGCUUUCAACCAGCGUGCAAUAAUGCAGUCCCGCGUGUCUUGGUCUUACAGGAUAUUUGGUUCUUUAGUCCGGACUAAAAUUCAUGUCGCAUAGAAUAUUCAGAUGUUAAAUAGGAGGACUAAACAUGAGCUAAUUAUAAAAAUAAUUACACAAAUGGAGGCUAAUUCCCAAGACAAAUCUAUUAAGUCUAAUUAAUCCAUCAUUAGCACAUGUUUACCGUAGCACCGUAUUGUCAAAUCAUGGACUAAUUAGGCUUAAUAAAUUCGUCUCGCAAGUUAGUCUCCAUCUAUACAAUUUGUUUUAUAAUUAGUCAAUGUUUAAUACUCUAUCUAAACAUUCAAUGUGACUGAAAUUUUAGGAGGUCCUAAAGAACCAAACACCCCUUAGUCUCCGCCUGAACUAUAGCAGGUGCUGGCAGCGGUAGCAGGGUCGUCCAUUAUAUCUAUGGAUGGAAAUGAUCUGAUUCGGAUGGAAUCGAAUUCGAAUAGCACUUUUUACCACAUACUAAUCUGAAUUGGAUGUUCUCGAAUGUGAAUGCAAAACGGAUAGUUCAAAUUUGAAUACUUUGCGGAUUUUUGCAUAAUAUUAAUCGAAGAGAAUUUGUUAAAUUUAGCCGAGACAUAAAUUUUUCUAAAUUCAAAUACUUUGCAGAUUUUCGAAUGCAAAUUUUUUCAUACGAUCUCGGUUGAAUACAAACUUUAUAUCAAAGUUGUAUAUUUAGAUUAUAUAUAAAACUUUGUAGUUGACCUCCUUUUCAUUUAAAAUUUUUUAAUAGCUCAAAACAUUAUUCUAAGCUUUCUAAUUUCAAAAUCUUGAAUUUUAAAUUUUUCAAACGACCUCGGAUGCAAACAAGCUCUAUAUCAAAGUGCUUAAUGAGAUAUAAAAUUUUGUAGUUGACAAGUUUUUUAGUUGAAAACAUUUAGUUAUCACAAACAUACAAGUUCUUCAUUUGAUGUCGAGGAUUGGAAGUGUUGAGUUUGAAGAAUAUAUUCUUUGAUUACAAACUUUUCCAUAUGAUCUUGGAUGAAUACGAACUUUAUUUCAAAGUUGCAAAUUUAGAUUAGACCAAAAACAGUAUAGUUUACAAUUUUUUCAUUCAAAAUUAUUUAGUAGCUCAAAAUGUUAUUCUAAACUCUCUAAUUUUGAAAUCUUGAAUUUUAAAAUUUUCAAAUGACCUCGGAUGCAAACAAGCUCUAUAUCGAAGUGGUAGUUCUUAAUGAGAUAUAAAAUUUUGUAGUUCCAUCUGAGAUCAUUUAACAGUCACAAAUAUACAAGUUUUUCAUAUGAUGCUAAGGAUCAGAAAGAUUAAGUUUGAAGGCUGUAUUUUUUUAAUACAAAUUUUUGCAUACGAUCUCGGAUGAAUACAAACUUUAUAUCAAAAUUGUAGAGCUCGAUGAGAAUUUAAACUUUGUAGUUGAUAUAUUUUUCAUUCGAGAAUGUUUAGUGGUCCAAACAUGUAUUAUAAGUUCAGAGAAGAAACACACAAUCGGCCACGUCAUCAAUUGACAACUUCCAAACUGAGCAUUCCUAUUGGUUCACACCUUUCCCUUUCAACUCGUCAAGCUUAUCUCCUCCCACUCCUCCAUCGUUCACUCCCCCUUCCCCUUCCUCUCUCCCUCCCUCCCUCCGCUCCAGCAGUGGCAGCCCGACCUGCCUCCUAGGACGGUGGUGUGCGGGGCUCGGGCAUCCCUGGCCUCUAGUGGCGUGGCAGGGCGGCCUCCAGCAGCGAUGGCGGAACUCGGCCUCCGGUGGCGCACAGGCAGCGCAGCCUACCUGGUCAAAGGCGGCGCAACAGGGCGACCUCCCCAGCCUCCGGCGGCGCGCAGGGCAUCCAUGACCUCCCCGGCCUCCCUUGCCAGAGGUGGUGCGCGGGGCUGCGCCGACCUCCCCAACCAGAGGUGGCAAGGCCCCAGCUUACGGCGGCGCGUGGCUCCCCAGCUAGGGUGUGGUGGGGCGGCGGCAAGUCAGGCGUGGCCGCGUGGGGGUGGGGGGAGGGGGUUGGGCUGGGCGGAUUCAGAUAGUAUCCAUUUAACCAUCCGAAAUGUGGAUAUCCGUUUAACAAUCCGUUUAGCAAAACCGAAUUUGGAUACUUCCACUUAAGUAUCCAACUAGGAUUCGAAUGCGGAUGGUCCUACCAUAUUGUUAUUUCAGCGGAUACGAAUAUGGGAUAAUUCGAAUAACGACUUACCCAUCCCUGAUUAUAUCCGUGUAAAUAAAUAAUUGCGGCAGCAGGUUCCCGUCGCCACGCCCCCGUCAAACCAAACAAUUGCUUGCGCGACACCGUGUUACUAGAUCUUGUACAGUACUCCCUCCGUUGCAGUACUCCCUAAUGAAAGUUGAGAAUCGAUCGACAACCACGGCUAGUUGCUAUGCACUCGAUCAGAUGGUCCAGGCGCCCGCUGGUAAUCAGGUCGUGGUUCACGCGCAUCAGGCCAGCUAUGACGUUGCCAGCAGUGCUCAGUACACAAAUCUAGCUAUCAGUCGGAUCCAAUUGGGCAGGCAUUUGCACUGUGGUUGUGUUUGAACCUGUAGAUGUCGUUGUCAUUAUCAGGCACCAUACAUCCUCUCUCAGAGGGUGUUUCACCCCCUAAACUUUAGCCCCUCUCACAUCGAAUGUUUUAGAUACUAAUUAGGAAUAUUAAACAUAGAAAAUUUACUAAACCCAUUACAUGGAUGGAGGGUAAACGGCGAGACAAAUCUAUUAAAUCUAAUUAGUCCAUGAUUUGACAAUGUGCUGCUAUAGUAACUAUUUGCUAAUGAUGGAUUAAUUAGACUUAAUAGAUUUUUCUUGCUGUUUAGCCUCCGUCUGUGCAAUUAGUUUUAUAAUUAAUUCAUAUUUAGUCCUCCUAAUUAGUCUCCGAAUAUUUGAUGUGACACGGACUAAACUUUAGAUAGCACACCAGGGACCGACACCAUGCAUGCUGAUUUCAUAUCAUAAUUAAGGAAAGUGAUAUCAUAAUUAAGGAAAGUGGUAGCAUCCAAGAAAUCGAUCAUGUUUCUUCCCCCUUUGGCUUUCCUACUAGGAUUUGGAUAGCGGGCCUUCCUACUAGGAUUUGGAAUCCGCUAUCGCAUGACUAUCUUAAUUAUGUCCCAUAGUCCAAAACUCACAAAACAUCAAAAAUCCAUCGAGAAUAAAUUAAGUAAAAAACAUGCGCACACAGAUAAUAAUAAUAAUAAUCAUGUUUCAAUAAAAUUGCUAAGAUUAGAGAUAGUACAUAAACAUAUUAGAUUGUUCGUGACACAUAUCAUGGUGGAUAGUGUCUGUGUCCUUAUUACAAGCAGCGAUAGAUGCUUGUCACCACACACACGCACGCACAGAUGCACGACAUACAUAUAGUUGAGACCAACGGAUGGACGUCCCAUAGGGUGAAUAAUUUAUUGGAGAUAAAUAUUAACAUAACUUGGCCAUAGCUUGAAGCAUAGCAACAUAUGCUUAUGAAUGGCAUUCAUGCGGGUAGCAAUGCUAUCAUAUGCUUUUAGGCUUGUCCUUAGCUUCUUCCAUCUUAUAGCAAACACUGCCAUUUCUUCCAUCUUAGCAGCAACUGUCAAAUUAAUUGAGAUAUGGAAAUCCCAUUAGCGCAUGAGUUAAUUUUGCAGUGGAAAUAGAGUAGAAGAUGUCUUCAUAAUGUAAGUAAUAUGACUCUGACAUAGGGAGUGAAGUCAACAAAUUACAUUAACGGAAAUGCAUGGAAGGCCACGCAUAUGUAUUAGUCCGAUAUGCUACAAAGCUUGUAUGUACAUAUAAUAAAUUAAAUGCAUUGAAUAGAGUGAUUUUAGUGAAUUUACCUAAAUCGGAUUAAAAAACAUGGGAAACAACAAGUGUUCUUGUAGGGCUUUGUUUAGUUCCCAAAUUGGGAGUAGCAAAGUUUGCAUUUUACCAUAAAUGCGCAACUAUAGCAUGUAGCAUUUUGUUUGUAUUUGUGAAUUAUUAUCCAAACAUUGACUAAUUAGGCUCAAAAGAUUCAUCUCGCAAAGUACAACAAAACUGUGCAAUUAGUUUUUGAUUUCGUCUACAUUUAGUACUCCGUGCAUGUACCGCAAGUUUGAUGUGAUGGGGAAUCUUGCUUUUCAAUAGUGACAAAGUUGGGAUUUCGGGGGGAAGGCCUGUGUCGGAGCCACAUGCAAGAAUGGCUGACAUUGAGGCUCAGACAAAGCCCAAUGGCAACUGCUGACAUGCGAUUAAAUUUAGAUAUCCACAUCCAGCCAUUCACAUUUAUGAGAUAUGGACACGGUGCAAAUGGGUGGGGUCCUGAUAUGGAGGUGCGAAUGGCUGUCUACUUGUAUAGUGUAGCUCCAAUGUACGUAUAUGUAUCUUAUGCAUGUAUACAGUUGCACAAACUCUGAACCAACUCUUCAUAACAGGUCUUUGUUACCAAGUAACUUUACUUUUGCACGUUUCAGCCGAGAGGUAGAAGAGAAUAUUUUUGCAUUUUCCAUGUGCGUCAGUGGUAGAGAACUAGGAAUUAGUUCCGGAUGGUAGGGCACAAAUCUUCCAAACAACUAUCCGAAAUUAAGCAAUCGAGAUAAAGGGUGCCAUCUAUUCUCUCCGAAAAACACAGGUACCAAAAAGAAGAAGAGAAGAGGGAGGGCCUCCCGUUAAGGCCCGCUCGGGGUCUCCAUCCCACCACGCGCCCUCCCAACCCAAAGCCCAUCGUUUUCCCUCCGUCCCUCCCCUCUCCAUUGCCGCCGCCGCUCCCCUCAUCCGAGCUCGAUACGGGUGGUCGGCGGCCCCUCCUCUCCGCUCCCGCCCCCGGCCUCCCUUUGACCGCCGGGCGCCGGCAUCACUGCCGCGGCCAACCCCAGGGCGCAGCGCGUGCCUCUAUUUCUCUCCCCCGUUCAAGGGCCCUUUGAUGGCGACGAGCACCCACCCACCAGGUAUGCCCUCCCCUUCUCUUCCUAACCCUAAUAUAUUCGGAUCUCACCCAGUCACAAUAUAUUACCUAAUAGCUUCGAUUUUGUUUGCAAAAAUCAUCACGUGCGCACCCAUGUCCGCUAGAUUCUUGCGCCUGAUCCUGUGCUGCUAUGGUUUGGGCGGGGUAGACUAGUUGAUUCGUGCACUUUUGGGUGCUUGUAGUGCUAGGUUUUGGAGGGGGAUAGCCCAGUUGAUUCCUCCGUUUUGGGUGCUCAUGGUGAUAGGAUUUGGAUGGGGAUAGCCCCAAUGAUUCGUGCGCCUUUGGGUGCUGGGGAUAGUUUUGGGUGCCUGGAUAGUCCAGUUUCAAUGUCAGUAUAUGCGUAUUUUGGGGAGAAUUUUGUUUUGGGUGGUUCUGGUGCUAGAGUUUCUGAUGCUUAGUAGCCCAGUUUCAAUCAAAUUCCCCCAUGGGUCGUGCACUACGGGAAACAAGAAAAUUGCCGAGUGUAUUUUUUUUGUCGAGUGUUUUUUUUCGAGCACUCAGCAAACAAGCUCUUCGCCGAGUGCCAAGUCAAAAACACUCGGCAAAAAAAAACACUCGGCAAAUCGGGGCUUUGCCGAGUGUCAAAUAAAAAACACUCGGCAAAGAAGGGGGUUUGCCGAGUGUUAAAAAAAACACUCGGCAAACAGGAGGGUUUGCCUAGUGUUUUUUUGACACUCGGCAAAAAAAUAAUUGUUUUUCCUCUUUUCACCUUGAAAUUUUUUCUACUCCCCACAUACAACACGUGGUACUCCAUGUUAAAAUUUGGUAUAUUUUUGGAUUUAUUUGCUAUAUUUAUUUAAUUAAUUGCAUUACAAGGAAAUUUUUGGUAUAAGUCAAAUUUGAACUGCAAGUGAUUCAAAUUGUGGAACAAAAUGAGUAGAAAAAUGAUAUUCAUGUUAUUUGGCUCAAUUUGAGACCUGACCCAUGAAAUGAAAAGAAAUUUCGAACAUCUUGUUCAGGAAACACGACAAUGAACAUGUGGCGGUAGUAUUUUUAAAUUGUAAAAAAAACAAGCAAAGUCUGAAAAUCAUGAGAUUUGUAGUUAUGUGAUGAUAUAAUACGUGGAAGCUGUGGAAAAAAAUUGGAAAGGUUUUGCACAUUUCAUCAUGUACGAUGAUUACAAACCGAAGCAUAUCAGAAGAAGAAUAGUAACUUUGAGAAGGAUUCGAUAAAAUUUAGAGUCGAAGUGACGGUCGAGUUCGGUUUGACUACAAAACUUUUUGUAUAGUCAGUAGAGAACAUAUCUUAUUUCGUGUGAAAAUUUGGUAUUUUUUGAAACUGUUGGAUAUUUUUAAUUUUUUUUUAAAAAAACUUUGCCGAGUGUCCUAGGGUAGACACUCGGCAAAGAAAAACUUUACCGAGUGCCCGCCUAGGACACUCAGCGAACCUUUUUUUAAACCUACCGGCUCCGGCCGGCCCAGCCCACAAACACCACCCGCCCCCCGCCCCCGCGCCUUCUUCCUCACGCCGCCCCCGCCCCCCACCCGUGCCUCCGGACCGCCCCCUCCUCCCCCUGGCCUCCCCUCACGCCGCCCCCCUCCUCCCCUAGCUCCCUCCACCGGCGGCCCUCCCUCCCCCGGCGCACAUCCUCCACUCCUCCUCCCCUUCCCUUCCCUCCCCUCCCCUCCCCUCUUCCUCCCCUGGCCGGAUCUGGCGCCCCUAGCUCCCCUUUCUUCCGCGGCCAGAUCUGGCGCCCUCCCGGCGGCGGGUCGUGGCGAUCGGGGCGGCGGCGGCGGAUCAGGCCGCGGGGCGGCGGCGGCGGCGGGUCGUGGCUACCGGGGCGGCGCCCUGCCCCUCCCCUCCCUCUCCAUCUCCGGCUGCCGUCCACCCCCUCCCCGGAUCCGCCCCCCUCCCCUCCGCGCGGCCAGCCCCUCCUCCCUCUCCGGCCGCCGCCCCGGCCCCUCCUCUCCCUUUCUCCGGCCACCGCCCCGCCCAUCUUCUCUGGAUCCGGCCGGAUCCGGCCGCCGCACAGCCCCUCCUCCCCGGAUCCGGUGGGCGCGGACUUCGUGGUGGUGGCGCCGGAUCCCUCCCCUCCCUCUCCAGAUAACUCCCUCCACUCCUCCGCUCUUCCCCUCUCUCGCGCGGCGGCCUCUCUCCGGCCGCCGCCCCGCCCCUCUCCCCGGAUCCGGGGGGGGGGGGACUCCGCCCCUCUGCCCCGGAUCCAGCUCCCCGACCCGCGAGUGGGGCGAGCUUGCUCAUGCGGUCGACGUCGAGGCCAGGGUGUGGUGGAGGUGGUGGCCGGCGGGUGUGGUGGUGGUGGCGGCGGCGGGCAUGGCGGCGCGGAGGCAAGGCACGGCGGCCGGUGGGAGGCACGGGUGCAAGGCGUCGACGGCAGGAGGCAAGGCACGGCAGCAUGGGAGGUGGUGCUGUGGUGGUGGUGCUGGCGGUGGUGGCGGCGGCGGAGCAGGAUGUGGUGGUGGCGGAGGAUGUUUUUUUUUCAAAAAUUUGUUGCCGAGUGUUUUCUCGGCACUCGGCAAAGACUUUACCGAGUGCCCGACACAAAACACUCGGCAACUCAGUGUUUGCCGACUGAAAAAUUGCCGUGUGCCGUUUGCCGAGUGUUACACUCGGCAAACGGUUCGCCGAGGGUUUUUUGCCCUUCGCCGAGUGCCCCUAGCACUCGGCAAUUUCACUAUCUCCCGUAGUGGUGGCUGGACUUAUGGGGGGAUCAUUGAUGGGGGACUAGUUGGAUACUUUUUGGCUGUUUUGGGAGUCCUUGGCAGCGGCUUCUCAGGGCGUACGUAGCCCAUUGUAGAUUCCAGCCGAGAAGAUUAAGGAAUUGUGACUGCAACCAUGUUACUUUUCUAGGACUCUGUUUCUGAUAUUGUUCCCGCUGCAUCUUUUCAUCCCCAUGGUGAAUGUUGCUGUUGAUCUGUAGAUUGGAUUUGUUCCUCGGUAGCUUUAUUAGAUUUGUGCUGAAUGAUAAUCUCUGCCUGUGAUAUUUUUCUUCAUUGCGGAUGUGUGCCGAGUAUUAUCCCCUUUGUUCAUUCUGUUGGCUUUUUUUAUUGUCUCUGUACUCGGCUGUUCAGCUUGUGCAGCUAAUGAUCUAAUGUAUUUUGUCGUAACUAUGUAUUUUUCGGAUGUGUGCCGAGUAUUAUCCCCUUUGUUUAUUCUGUUGGCUUGCUUUCAUUGAUCUUAAGAUAACUGGUGCUAUAAAUUCACACUAGCUGAUGCACUUGCAAAUAGCUAUGUAAAUAUGAAAAGAAGUAUUUUUUUAUCCUUUUGUUUGUUUGGCAUCAUAUCUGUUUAAAUGGCAUAGCAAUAAGAAUUUUUUGUUUUUGGGGAAUCAUAUCUGCUUAAAUGGUAUAGAAAAUGCUGAGUGCACUGUCAAAUAGAUUUUCCAGCAGUCUGCUUUCAGUUGUUUUUGCAAAUCCUCACAGGCCAGUGAACUGACUUUGUUUUUACCACCCCAUGCCAUUUAAAUGACUAAAUCAGUCAGCCUAAUACUAUAUAUGGUCAUGCUAUGAUCUUAUUUCUUGAAGCUCUAUAGGUCAACCCAUAAGGGUAACUUAGUUUUUCCUAUUCUGGCUGGGGAAGUGGAUACGAUGGCUAUCCUUGGUAGAGUUAAAUACAUUGGCGGCUCUUAGCGCGCCAAUGUGGCACCACAAUAUCGAACAUAUGUAGAAACCCCCUUGUUUUUUCUCAUAUCCCUCUCUCUCAGCGUCCUCUUCUCUUCUUCUCCUCUGUCUCCUCCCCUCCCAUCGCGUGCUUUAUUGCGCCGCCGCCAUCCGCCUCCAUGUAUGAACACGUCGUUUGUCAUGAAGAAGCAGUUGAUGAGGCAAUCAAGCAUGUGGUGCACAAGGUUCUUCUGCUGGCCAAGUCCGAGUCGAACAGCCGCGCAUUCAUUGGGGAAGCACGCGCCAGGCAUCACCAGGCUCCUCGUGCCCCUACUCUGCUCCAAGGACUCGGUGCUUCGACGCGCUGCUUUCCCUGUCCGGCGAGCGGGGAUCGUUGGGAGAUGAUCGAUGGAGGAUGGAGCUGAUCCUCCUGUACACGGUGCCGGUGGGGAGCAGGGAGCUGCGGAGCAGGUCCACGGGCGGCGCCAUUACAGCAGGUGCAGGCUAAGGGUAAUGAGCAGAUCGAGGCGAUGGAGGAGGACCCGCACGAGGUGCAGCUUCUUCGCCUCCUGCGCAAAGUCAGCGCCCAAGCAGCCGCUGAGGGACAGGCCGAGGCUUAGCUCGAUCUCAUCCGACUAAAUGGUGGCUGCACUCCCACAGUCCCACUGGUGCUCCUCCCUUCUGUCCGAACCUGCCGAGGAAAUCCCUCGAUGCCAUGGGUCCCGGCUGGACGACUACUCCUCCCACAGAUUGACUGAGGAAGAAGAGCUUCUCAGUGUCCAAAAAUUCAGUUACACUGGAAACAGCAACCAAUUACGUUCUUCCGGCUCAGCCAAGCCCCAAUCUCCUUGCUUCUGUGCGCCCCUGCUAAAUAUUCCAGAAACCAAUCUGGUUAGUUGUUUUUUCACAUUUUCAGUGCAUGCCGGUGCUGCUGUGUGCGGCAUGCAUGGAGUUGUCGUGGGAGUGCACGGUGGCUUAGCUGGUGCGCCAGUGCGCGGGCACGAACACAACGGUGAAGAUGGCAGGGCCAUCUCAAAGCUCCUGAGCACCUGCACGCGUCGCUGAGCAGGACAUGCUGCGACGGUGGGCGAGCGCUGCUAACGCCCUGGGGAAGAGCAGUGGGUGCAGAGAGAGGGAGCGAGGGAGAGGGGUUCUUGUAUAUGUUUGCUAGCGUGGCACCGUUUACGGUGCCCGCCUAAGUGGCAUUCACGUGUCAUUCAUCCCAAAUGGUGUUGCAAGGUUGAACCUAUUGUGGGAGGCUUUUGGUUUCCCUUGACAGUAUCACCAGUGAUAUCACUGCGUUCUGGUUAUGUAUGAAACACUUGUCCUUUUAAAACCUUUCUGAAUUUAGAAACGAAUUUGAAACAUUACCCUCAUUUCCAUGUUUUUCUAUCUUUUGUCCCUGUAAAAUCAAACUAAAUUUGAAUUAUUAUGUUCAGAACUACAAGCUGAUUUACUUGUCCCAUUUGCUAAUAACAGGGCCUUGUGAUUUCUAAUGAACAUUGCAGAGCAUGUUAUAAAGCGUAUGCAUGAACACCAAGGGGAUGAAACCAUUGGUAUAUUUCUCACAACCUUUUGAACUUAUCAUUUAGCAUAUUUGUGUUCUAGUGUGACGUUUCAGCCACGAGACAUGAGAAAUGUUAGCUAUGGAUUUUGGUUAUUCAUCAUGGGUUCACAGAUUUGUUUUUCUCUAAAAGAAUUGGGAAGUAGCUUUCUUUCUGGGUAUAUGUGGGGAAAUGCAUAUGCAAUCUUUUAUUUAUUGAGGUGACUGUAAAAUUCUUGUCUGACUGAAUAUGCGAUUUCAACCUACAUGCUAUACUUAGGGAAAUUUGUGAAUCUCCUAAUGUCUGCUGCAUGGCAUGAAUGCAUAUUUUACUGGUCCAUAAUGUGAAGUUCUGUAUAUAAACUUCUCGUGUUGACCCUUUAGAACAUGCUAACUGGAGAGUUUUCUAGAGUAGUUAAACAAGAGAUUUAGUUAAAUCUGCACACAUAGGUGGGGCCUGGCAUACCCUAAGAAUCGGCCUAGCCGGUCAGCCCAUUAGUAAAAAAAAAAGCACCGCAGUCAGCAGUCCCCACGUUGGUCUUCCUCGAGUCGCGACUCGCGAAGCUCCCAUCCUCCGAGUCCAAGAUGGUGGACUGUGUCGAGCGCGGGGCGGGCGAUUAGUUGCCCGGCCGCCGGCGGGGGAUGGCCGGACGGCCAGAUCGCCGACUCCUCUAGUCCUCCCUCCAGCCUCUGCGCUUCUUUCACAGUGGAGCUAGCGGCGAGGCGCCCGACCGACACCCUUCUUCCCAAAUCCCGGCAGCCCUACCUCGAUUUGGCCUCCUCCGAUCAUUUGAUAAUCAAUUUGAUGAAAUUAAUAUGGAGUUGCUUUCUUGUAUGGUUGCCUUCAAUCCUGCUAAUUCAUUUGCUUCAUUUGAUGCACAAAAGAUACAUAGACUUGCUAUAUUUUUAUCCACAAGACAUCACAAGCACGGAUUUGCUAAAACUUGAAUUCCAGCUCGAUAUUAUAUUGAUGAUGUGAGAUAGGAUGAUAGUUUCAAAGGCCUACAAGAUCUUGUUAACUGAGACUCAGUUAAGCUUGUUGAAACAAACAGGCAUAAUAUUUAUGACUUGGUUUACUUGCUUCUCAAAUUGGUAUUGGUUCUUCUUGUGGCGACAGCUAGUGUUGAAAGGGAUUUUUGUGCAAUGACUUUGAUCAAGAGUAAGCUAAGAAAUAAGAUGGGUGAUAGUCUUUUGGAUGAUUGUCUUAUCACAUUCAUUGAGAAAGAUAUUUUCUUUGAAGUGGAUGAAGAAGAUAUAAUUAAGACUUCAUAUCCAUUAGAAAUCGUAGGCUGGAGAAGAAGUAAUAUUUUAAUUUUCUUUGAACGUUAGGUCUGUAAGCUUCUUUUAAACUAUCUACAUUAUAAUUUAUGGACCUUUUAAUUUAACCGUUGAAUUCAUGAUAUUAUGAGAUUUUUUUAUCUAUGUUAUUAUUGUUUACCGAUUUAUUACCAAAUUAUUAGUUUGAUCUUACAAUAUUGUAUUUUGGAUGAUUGGCUCGGCAUACUCUAAGUUUAAAUCCUAGCUCCGCCACUGUUUGCACAUUAAUGUGGCUUAUAUGUGUGGAGUCACUUAACCUAUGCACUUGGACCUCCACUCCCUUAGGUUUUAUGAACCUAAUUUGACAGCCUGCUCGUCUUUUAUUUUCUACCAAUCAGCUAGGAACGAACAUGGUGAUGUUUGCAUCUCUGCCAUCAAUGGCUUACAUGUCAUUAUGUAUCACAUUAGCAAGUCUUGUUUUGUUAUUGGCUGGGAUGACGGGGACUCUAGCUGGAAUUGAAUCAAAGUGGUAGAUCACAGGGUAUUCAUUGCCAUGUAUUUCUGCAGUUGCAUGGACUUGCAUCAAACGGACCUUCCUACUUAUGUGAUUGUCCUAUAUGAUCUCCUUUGAUUUCAUUUGCACACUGUAAUCACAUUAGCUAGAACACUCGCUUUUUGCUUCAAAUUUGAAAUUCAUAUCAUGAUGGACUAGAACGCUGAAUUUCUUGAUUGCUGAGUUACUAAUCACAUUGUGGCGCUGCCAAAGAAGCUGGACUCUUCAUUGUUGUUGCCUUGUGGGCUGCCGUGUGCAAAGAACAAGAGCGCACGGUAUUAUAAUAGCAGAGCAGAACACAGACAAGCGACAAGGAGCGGAGCAGAGCAGAGCACAGCCAGGCACAAGCAGUAGAGUAGAGCAGAGCAACCGGGAGAGGAGAGGGCACAUAUGCAGAGUAGAGCAGAGCCAAGCGCAAGCAUUCAUGCACUCAAGCAUGCAGCAGAGGUGUAGCAAGGCAAGCACAAGCAGCAGAGCAGAGGGAAGGGAAGGCUGGGAGAUGAAUAGGCGAAUAGUUACCUGGACAGAGCAGAGGGAAUGGAGAUGAUGCAGAUGCUUCCGGAGACUCGAGAUUUGGAGAGGAACAAGGCCACGUUGUGAACAAGGUCUCCUUUCUCUUCUCUAUUUCCCGCGCAAGUACUUGUGCAUAGUGGCUGCCUCAUCCUCCAGGACGUCCACUUCAACCUGAGGCGGGUGCCACAGACAUCCUGGCUAUGCGACGGCUACCCCCAGCACACCCCCGGCGCCUAUGAACCAUGAUCCUAAUACUAUAAAUUGUCAACCUUGUAAUCUUAUUUCAAGCAUGCUCUCUAUGUCAACCUGUAAGGUUAACUUCGUUUUUCCUUUUCUGGGUAGGGGAGUGGAUAUUGCUGUUAUUUAUAUUAUGUUGAUAUUGGUUUCCACAUGUCAUUCACCCCAAAUGUGUUGCAAGGUUGAACCUAUCAUCGGAGGAAUUUUUUUCCCUUUACCUUUAUAUCACUACGCUCUGGUUAUGUAUGAAACACUUGUCUUCUUAAAAACCUUAAUUUAGAAACAAAUUUGAAACACUAUCUUCAUUUACAUCCUGUAUGUGUUUUCUACCUUUUGUCCUAUAUGAUCUGCUUUGAUUUGAUUUGUGCAUAGUUUUUUCAAUUCAGACCUGGUGAUUUCUGAGGUUCAUGUUGUGCUGAUAAGCAGCCUACUAUUCAGUAACACUUUCAUGUGGCAUGUUCAUGUUAGCUAGCUAGAAACACUGCUUUUAGCUUCAAAAUUCAAAUUCAUGACAUGAUGGACAUUGACAAUGAAUUUCUUGAUUGCCGAGCUAUGUACACUGUAAUUCAGACCUGGUGCUUUUAGUUUUUUUCUUGAUUGCCGAGCUAGAAACACUGUGCUUUUAGUUUUUUCAAUUCAGACCUGGUGAUUUCGGUUUUUUCAAUUCAGACCUGGUGAUUUCUGAGGUUCACGUGUCACACCGAUUUUAAGAACAAAAUCGAGUGCAUUAAAUAUACAUGUACGCUAGGAUCAGGUUACACACAUGUACGACAUAAGCGAAUAUCAAAGACAAUGCCAUAACGAAAUAAAGAGAGUAUUAAUCAUUAUUACAUGACCGAAAGUCUCAAAUAAACCACAAAAUCUAUUUAUUACAUAGCGGAACUUCUAAGAUAGCAACGUCUCCACAGGCAGCUGACUGAAGAACUGUAUGCCUAGAACUCUUCAAAAUCGUGCAGGUACUCCUCCAGAUUAGCUUGGUAUGAACAACGGUUUUGCAAGGGUGAGUACACUUAUGGUUGGUACUUAAUAAGUCGUGGGAAACAAUGUAGUGUAAGGCAAAUCAAGGUAUGGCUAAGGCUUAAACAGCAUCAGCUUUUAAUUUAGUUGGUCAAAUUUUAUUAGCAAUUAAUUAGACGUAAAUUUAUACCACCCGAAAUUAAACAAGAACAUGAAUAAAAUAAUAACAUAACCAUAAAUGAAAUGACAACAAUUUAAAUCCAUCUUUUCAUAGCAUUAUCAUGUGAGGGUCCAGUCCGUUCUUAACCGUGAGCACCGCUGAUCGAUCAGUUUUACACUCUGCAGAGGUUGUACAUCUUUACCCACAAGUCGCGUAAAAGUUCAAAAGAAUUUUGGACCCAACCAUGCGGUAUUUGCAAGGCACCAUACCACACUUCCAAGGUGUGAUUGCAUAUGAACGCUACGAGGCCUUUACAAAGAUUCAUUAGUAAGUGGUAACCCGCUAAGGUUUCGGUAUUUGGCGUGCACAACCUAUCACAGGCCGCUAAUGCAACGACUCAGUCCCCCCUCUUGCCUCAUCACGAGUAAGAUUACCCCAGACUAAGGUUUCUAAUUAUUCAGCCAAGAUCAGAACCAUUUAGUCUUGUGGUAGCACUGUUUUCCUGGGUGGUUCUCCAUGUUCCGAUUAAACAUAAUGGUCUUGUAUUAAUGGAAGGUAUAACAUAAAUAAUACCAAAUUAAUAAUAAUUCAGAUUAAAUCACCAUAACCAUAUUUGAGCACUAAGCAUGAGCUACCCAACAUAAAUUUAACCCGGUUGGUCAAGGCAAGGUAGAUAAAGUCUAGGAAAUUCUUAAUUGGGACCCAUCAAGUUUAAAUUAUACUUUGCAUGGUAUGUUGCAUAGAACAUGAAAGUAAAUGUGAAUAGGACUGAAAAGGAGUGAUUAGGGACACGACUUGCCUUUUUAACCUUGUUCUUGCUGUUCGUACUCUUCGAAAACUUUGAUCUUCAAAUCCCUUGAACUGCUGACCGUCUACACGCGUCACACGACCACAUACAAGCAAACAAAUAUAAUACAUAAGAAAACAGUACACCAAUCAUAAUUAAAUAGAAGAAACAAAUUUGAAAAGCUAUUCUACGCAUUAAAACGAAAACACGGAUACAAGGAACGUUAAAAACGGAGCUACAGUGCAAAAACUACGCUUAAAACAAGAUGCAGGGGUAUAACUACGAGAAACCAAACUUCCAGGGAUUUAAUUUUAAAUAAUUUUGAACUGCAGAAGGGGCAGCAGGGCAAAACGUAGAAAAUGCAGGGGCUUAAGCGCAAAAGCAUGGCUGCUGACUCAGCUGACUUGAUGUGGAUCGUCGGAUGGCGAUCCGGCGGCCGGCAGCUGCUGCGCUGACGUCAGCGACGGCGAGCGCCGGCGAAAAACGGCAGUUCGCCGGAAUCGCCCGGGAACGCGCGACUGGGUGCAGAUUUGAGCGAGGAUUAGACUAGCAGAUAGAAACGAGCGCAGUGAACUCAUUUGGGAUGCCUACGGCGAGGACUUGGCGACGGCAUCGGCUCCGGCGAGAACUUGCGGCAGGGAAACCAAAUAAAAUAAAAUAACACGGUUCAGAGAAGCGGCGCUGGAGGAACGCGAGCGAUUUUGCGUGCGAGCGGAAGAAAACACUGCGAGGAAGAUGACUGCGGGCCCUGCUUGUCUGCGGCAGGAGGAGAGCUGCGUGCGAGAAGAACCUGGCCACGAUCUGGGCCGUUGCCUUCGAUCUGGGCCGAGGCAAGCUAGCUGGCCCGCUGCUGCGGAAAGGUGCUGGGCCACGGGCGGAGCACAGCGUCGGGCCAGAAAGGAGAUGGCUGCUGCGAGGAAACAAAAGAAAAUGAACUGGGCUGCGACAGAGGAAAACUGGGCGUCGGCCAGAAAGAAGCUGCGUGCAGCUUGCUCUUGUUUCCGAACUAGAAACAGGAACUGACGGAAAGACAGAAAUCAAUUGGAGACUGAAACUGACGCCCCAGACUCUGAACUUCGAAAAAACAGGACAACCAGCCAACUGACAGAAAAAAAAAAGCUUAACAACCCAAAAGCAGUACACAACCACGAAACCAGGCCACAAGACUGAAAAAGCUUGAUAGGAACAUCUGGCGACUGAACCAAAAAACUACAGAACUGCAACUGAAGAACUAGAGAACAGAUAAAUAACUGAUUGAACUCUGAAACUGAAACACCAAAGAGCAGGAAGCUGACUGACGGAAAAUGCAAAACAGCAACCCAAGGUGAAACACAAAUUCUUCUUCAAGCAUUCAAACAAAGAGAUAUGCAACAGCAUGAAUGCUCAAUAAAAUCCUAUAUUUCAUUAAUUAAUUAGAAAAAAUGCUCAAAUGCCUAGAAAAAUGCAAAAGUGACCUUAUAUGCCUUAAACAAGCAAAUUCGUUUCUAGCGAUUUUUGGUAAAAUGCAAAAUUAGAGAUUUUGGGUGUUACAUCAUGUUGUGCUGAUAAGCAGCCUACUAUUCAGUAACACUUUCAUGUGGCAUGUUCAUGUUAGCUAGCUAGAAACACUGUGCUUUUAGCUUCAAAAUUAAAUUCAUGACAUGAUGGACAUUGACAAUGAAUUUCUUGAUUGCCGAGCUAUGUACACUGUAAUCACAUUGUGGGGCUGAUAAAAUAAGCAGCGUUGAGACACAUAACAAUUGAAUCUUAAGCUUCACACAGAAUCUGGACCAGUCAUCCUCAUUCCUGUCAUGCUGGAAAUGUCUUUGAUACAUUUCAAUCACAGGCAAUUGAAUUCGUACUGGGGAGGAUGGCAAUGGUGCAUGAAGAGAGAUCAAUGUGGCAAAUCUCACAUUGUUCAUUACCAGGUAUCUCCGAUUUCUGGUUAUUUUAAAUUUACCUUGACAUGUGACUUAUUGAGGUAUUGUAUUUCAUCUAAUGGUAGUUCUGAAUUUAUGGUAACCUUGGAUGGGGUUUGUCACUUUAUACACGCACGGACUUACAAAGGACAGCAAAUGAGUAUAUUUAGAGGGCUCCUGUCCAACCAUGGACUAUACUUAUGUACCCUUUUUUGACAUGGUAAUUUGAGGUUAAUGGAAAAGUAGCGAUAGUCGCCUCCAGCGAAGCUACCUUCUUCGAAAGCUCCGAGGCUGCUUUCUCGCUCUUAGCAAGCCGAUCCCUCGUAAUCAUCGAAGAGUAAGAGACCUACAGAUUUUAAAAACCAAGUUACCAAAAAUAACGAAGUAAAAGACAACACUCGCAAGACAAACCACCAAACUAUCUCAUAAUUGUACCUUCUUUACGAGGUUCGCCUCCAAGUUAAAGAGCUCUUCCAAGAUCAUUGACUUCACAGCUUGCUGAAAAUCUAUGCGCCAAAGGAUAUAGUCGUAAGCAUAAAAUAAAAAUUGGUAAAAACCAAGGACAGCAAAGCCAUCUACAAGCUGUUCUUACCCUCAUACUUUCGCACCUCAACGGCGAUCGGAACAACCUUCUCUCUAGCCUCGCCCUUAGACGCCACCACAAUCUUCCCGCCACACAAAUCCACAACCCCUCCUUUACCUUUGCCCUCUCCCGAAGUCGUCGUGCCCGCCUUCUCCACCCUUUUUGAACCGCCAACAUCUGCAUAGCGCUCGCAACCUUCACCUUCAGCCCCCCAGACCAAAGACAGGUUGUGAGGAUUAUAAACCCUACCUUCGGCGCAUGUAGCUAGAAUCUCCGUGCGCCCGCUCAAGCCCAGACACUCAUUCAGUCCCUGAAGCCCCGCCGGCAACCUCUCACCUACAUCAUAACAUUCAACUUUUAGCCUCACAUGAUCCUCACAACUAACCUUACCAACGCCCCCCAUAGUUUCUUCCAAGUCCUUCAAAAAUUUCGUUGAGGCCUCACCACAAUCAAAGAACCGUAGCAUCGAUAGAAACACCUCUACAUGCUUACCAGAUCUCACAGCUUCGGCACACCCACCCUUUGGAUCAGAUGAGAACGCAUCCACAAGCUUCGCCUUUUCGGUGGCAAACCCCCUCUCAAGUUUCCCAACAUCAGUCAAGAGAUGUUGCGCGCUCUUAAACUUCGAGCUUAUGGAAGGCACCGUGAUCUUGGUACCAGCUGCCGAAGACGCGUCAACCUUGGCACCCGUAACAGUAACAGGAGCAAAUCGAGGUUUCUUGGCGCCUCUUUUGAUCCGUGCGGCGGGCCCGGUGGAUGAAGGUGCAAGAGCUGGAACCUCCUUAGGAGGGCGCAUAGAGACAGGAACAACAUAUGCCGGAUUGCUCAAGUCGCCAGACGAAGCUGUCGACCACGAUGGCAACAUAGCAGACGAAGCCCCCGCGGUCAUUUCCUUCCUUUUUUGCGCCUCCAAAUUCAAGGUCUUUUGCUUCGCCUUAGCGGUCACUUGCAAUUCAAUAGUGAGCUUCACCAUGGGUACGAAGUCAAAUUUUGCCUUUUUCCUCUGCUCAAGACUAGCACCGCGACGGCGCCUCUUGCCCGUAACUUUGGGGUGAGGCAGAACCACAAUAUCAUACAAGUCAAAAAUCUAAGAUGAUGACAUUCCAUUUGUAUCCAUGAUUUAUAUUGUGUUCCUUGAAUAUCCAUUAAAGUCUACUUGAAUUGAUUUGCAAUUAUGUGAAUUGUAUGUGAAACUCUUUCCUUGUAUGGUUAUUCUAAAGUUGUCCCUAGUCGGAGUUCAUGUGAGGACACAUGAAUAUUAGACUAGCACAUGUAUUAGUUGAUGACUAUGUUUCACAAGUCAUGGACAUGAAGAUGUGGAACUAAUAAUGUGGGCACAUGUGGAGACACGUGCUAGGACUGACCCAACACGAGAAGUAGUUCUCUCUUUAUACAACAUAUACGCUUUGUCCUUAGACCUGAGAUUGUCGCAUGUACUCAAGAUGUGGAUCGACUUACUUAGGGGCUAUCAAAUUCUACGCCGUAACAGGGUAGUUAUAAAGGUAGCUUUCGGGUUUGUCAAGAAGCAUGCUAUGAGACAUGGUCAAUCAAGAUGGGAUUUGCCCCUCUCUGAUUGAGAGUGAUAUCUCUGGGCCCCUCGAGUGAUCGGAUCCGAAAAUGCAUGGCCAUGCUACAUACGAUUAAGAGUUAGCCUACAAAAGGAUUCCGAAUCAUAGGAUCGAGAAAGAGCGGUCGGCUUGAAGCUAGACCAAAUAUCGUGAGGCAAAGGGAAUAGCAUGUAUAUAAUGUUGUGAUGGUUCGUCUGAUAUGAUCUUCGUGUGCGUAUAGGAGUUGGCACGUCUUGCUAGAGGUCGCUACCGACUAUUGGGCCGAGUAGGAGUACUCAGGCCAUGUCUAUACGUAUCCGAACCCAUAGGGUCACACACUUAAGGGGCUGGAAGCCCAAUUCGGAUGUGAUCCGAAUUGGAUUAGGUUUAGAAGUACUAAUGGGCCUUGGACCUAGAGGCCCGUUAGGAACCUCUAUAAAUAGAGGGGUGGGGGCGCCCUAGGGUUUACACCUUUUUGGUGAAACACAUCUGCCGCGCCUCCCACGCCUUCGCCUGUUGCAACUCGCGGACCUAGCAGUCCGGCUUGCGACGCUUCCUCCCUGCACGUGUGGAUACCUUGGAAGUGUUGCUCCUGCAGCACUUGGACGAGCCGCCAACGAGCCACGACGAGCCACGAUGAGCCGACGAUGAGCCGCGGCACGAGGGGGAUCUUGCUGCACGUGGACGAGCUGCUGAGGAGCUGCUGGACGUCGAUGUGUUCGACUACGUACGACUACGCUGAUCGACUUCGCUGCAUCAACGCGAAUCUACAUCUUCCGCAUCAUUGCAUCGAGUGGUAAUCCCGUGAUCCUGAUACGGCAGUUUUCCUAGUUUACGCGGUAGAAAAUUUUGUUUUGUGCUAGUGUAGCCUAACUCAUAUCCCAACAACGUGUGCUAUAGGUCACGCAAGCCUGAAAAUGGCCACACCGGACACCGGGUACGAAAACAUGGGGGAUGGACCGAACAUUUGAAAAUGGCCUCCAUAUGUGUUUUCGGCUAUGAAAAUGUGUGUUAUAGGUCACAGAAGCUUGAAAACGGCCGCACCAGCCACUAGGGACGAAAACGUGGGGGAUGGACCAAAGACAUAAAAAAUAGCCUCCAGACGCGUGUUCGGCCAUGAAAACGUGUGGUAUAGGUCCUGGAAGGCCAAAAACAGCUACACCGGCCACCUGGGACGAAAAAGUUUGUGUAAGACCGAACACUUGAAAAUAGCCUCUGGACGCGUGUUCGGCUAUGAAAAGGUGUGUUAUAGGUCACACGAGCCCCAAAACAACCACAGCGAACACCAGCUACAAAAACAUGGGGGAUGGAUCGAAUAAUUGAAAAUGGCCUCCAGACGUUUGUUCGGCCAUGAAAUCGUGCGUUAUAGGUCGCGGGAGCCCGAAAACGGCCACACCGGCCACCGGGAAUGAAAAUGUGGGGGAUGGACCGAACAAUUAAAAAUGGCCUCCGGAUGUGUGUUCGGCCAUGAAAACGUAUGUUAUAGGUCACGGGAGCAUGAAAACGGCCGCACUGGCCACUGGGGACGAAACGUGGGGGAUGGACCGAAGACGUGAAAAUAGCCUCCAGACGCAUGUUCGGCCAUGAAAAUGUGUGCUAUAGGUCAUGCAAGGCCAAAAACAGCUGCACCAGCAACCGGGGACGAAACCAUGGCUGUCAAACCGAACGCUUGAAAAUCGCCUUCGGACGCGUGUUCGGAUAUGAAAACAUGUGUUGUAGGUCACGCGUGCCCGAAAACGUCCACAACGGACACCGGGUACAAAAACGUGGGGGAUGGAUCGAAUAACUGAAAAUGACCUCCGAACGCGUGUUCGGCCAUGAAAACGUGUGUUAUAGGUUGCGGGAGCCCAAAAAUGGCCACACCGGCCACCGAGGAUCAAAACGUGGGGGAUUGACCGAACAAUUAAAAAUGGCCUCCGAUUGUAUGUUCGGCCAUGAAAACGUGUGUUAUAGGUCAUGGGGGCCCAAAAAUGGCCGCACCAGCCACCAAGGACGAAAAUAUGGGAGAUGGACCAAAGACAUGAAAAUGGCCUCCAGAUGCAUGUUUGGACAAAAGUGUGUGCUAUAUGUCGUGCAAGGCCAAAAACAGCUACACCAGCCACCGGGACAAAAACGUGGGUGUUUGACUAAACAAGUGAAAAUGGCCUCCGGAAGCAUGUACGGCUAUGAAAAUGUGUGCUAUAGGUAAUGGAAGGCUAACAAAAGCUACACCGGCCACCGGGGACAAAAUCAUGGGUGUCAGACUGAACACUUCAAAAUGGCCUCCGGACGCGUGUCCGGCUAUCAAAACGUGUGUUAUAGGUCAUGCGAGCCCGAAAACAACCACACUGAACACCGGGUACAGAAACAUGGGGGAUGGACUGAAUAACUGAAAAUGGCCUCUAGACGCGUGUUCGGUCAUGAAAACAUGUGUUGUAGGAUGCGGGAGCCCGAAAACGGCCACACCGGCCACCAGGGCAUGGACCAAACAAUUGAAAAUGGCCUCCGGAUGUGUGUUCGGCCAUGAAAACGUGUGUUAUAGGUCACGGGAGCCCAAAAAUAGCCGCACCGACCACUGGGGAUGAAAUCGUGGGGGAUGGACCGAAGAUGUGAAAAUGGCCUCCAGAUGCGUGUUCGGCCAUGAAAACGUGCGCUAUAAGUCAUGUAAGGCUAAAAAUUGCUACACCGGGACUAAAGCAUCCCCCAUGAGUUACAAUAAAAGGAUUGUAUCCUCUACUCAGUCGGAUGUACUGUGUAGGUGAGAUGGUAAGGAAGCUAUGCGCGAGGUUUGAGGUUGUGGGUUGAAAUCCUACGCACCGCGCGCACACGCGCAUAUUUUGUGUGAAAAAUCAUGUGACUUGUGAUCGGCCAAGGAGAAGUGGGUGCAGCUGUGGCUUAAGUGGCUGAGGCACGCUGCCAUAGACAUCUCCGAUUUGCUCGAAGACUACCAAGACACUAGCAAUAACAAGAACUACUGCUCUUCCUAGCAGACUCUUUACAACCACUUUAAAGCUGUGCAUUUCUCAAUGUAAUUUCGUAGAAGGCAAUCGAUCCAACCAAGCGACUAAAUCAUUUGUUCUUGCCAAUGAUGUACAUCAGGUUUUCUAUAUGAAGGACAUGUCUAGCAAACCUAAGAUUUUAGAAGAAAAAGAAAAAUUAUGGGAGUCAAUAAUAAAUCAGGCCAAUCAGGAGAUUAUAGUAAGCUCGAUGGUAUGCCUCCAUUCGAUGUCGAAGUUGGCCCAAGCAUCAUGUUAGCCAAAGAUCAAAUGUUCGUGCAUUGCUACGGUAAAGAUCAAUUGUGUCUUUUAAACCCAUGGAAUUUUUUAUCUAUGUUUUUAUUACACUUAAUGGAUGUCUACACAUUUGCUAGAAAAUCAAAAUAAUUUUGACUUAAUUAUUUCUUUCAACUCAAAUACUCAUUAAAUUUCUACCUUUUUAUUUAAGCAAGAGAGUUGCUCAAAAAAUGGAUACGUAACCAUGUUGUAUCAUACAAAGCAACCACAUUUCACAUAUAGUCUGGCUUAGCAAACACCAUUGUUGUCUUAACAUAGUGUUCAUGAGUUAGUAGACAUGGAUCUAUUUCUAAUUGCAAGUAGUGCAGCGUACAACCAGCCUGCACCGCCGCAGCUCAAUAUGCGAUAAUUUUUUAUCUUCCCAUGUAAUUUUUCUACUCUAGUACAUAUUGAACUCCACAUAAAUGUCAUGUUCUUUCACGCCACAGACGGUUUCUAAAGUUUGGAACUAAAUAGAUAGCCAAAAAUUUUAAAAAAAUAUUUAUAUGGAUACAUGUAUGUUCUUUGCAAACUAACAAUAUUGUUUACAAUAUCAAAAGGAAUAUGGCUAUGAUCAUUGCCGCAUAUGGCAGGUGAUGGUAGAUGCCGUAUGGGGUUUCUUUAACUUAAUUGUAUAAUAAGCUGAAAUACAUUUUCUAUUUGCAAAUGAAUCAUAGCUGAAAGUGGUGGGAUUGUAGAACCGCCGGCCAUCGUGUCCUUGUAGGACCGCUGCACGAGCCUGUGAGCCACCAGCCACCAUGCGCCCAAGGGCCAUCACCACGCCAUAAGAGGAUGCUGUCUACCCGGUUUCGCGCGCCUGUGCUAGCUGCCUGAACCUGGGCCGCCGCCGGUCGCCUGCCCAGCCGCGCGUUGCGCCAGGGUUUUGCUGGUGACGACCAUGGCCUUCGCGAUCAAAUUAAAAAGUUAUCAACUGCAAAGUAUUAGGUCUCGUUGAGCUCUACAAUUUUGAUAUAAAGUUUCUAUUCAUCCGAGAUCAAAUAAAAAAUUUGAUACUCAAAGCAUAAAUCCAUUAAUCUAGUCUUGCUAAUCCUUACCACCAAAUAAAAAACUAGCAUGUGUUGUGUGUUUGUGACCCUAAACGAUCACAAAUGAAUAACUUAUGGGCCUUGCUAGCGCCCGGAUGUCCAGGCCGGGGCACUAGCAUCAGACCCACGAGUAGCCGUCCGAUCAGGUUCGACACCACUUCAGGAUCUGGCUUAAAAAGAAGUCCCACCGAAACAUUGUUCCAUGUUGCAUGAAGCAACCCACUACCGUCGCCAGGUCUAGAGCAAGCACCACCUUCAAAUGUGCUGCUCACCCUAGCUAAAUAGGGGCAUUAAAAUAUUUCUCGCAUAUCCUUCUCAAAUUAAACAAAAUCGCAACAUCUGAAAAUUUUUACAGAAAACCAUGAAACAUAUCGAUUAGAUAGAUGUAACAAGAUGGAAUAUGGUAUAUGCAACAUAUAGGUUCCGAAAAGCAGAUGAAAUAUUAUGUAAUGAUUCUUGAAACAGUCAAGAAAAAUAGAUGUAACAUCUAAAAUUAAGAAAAGAAGCUUUAUGCAAAUUGCAAAAAGCUGAAACAAGUGGUUGAAACAUUUCAAAUCACCAAAUGCCACAUUUGAAAUGACCAGAUGAAACAUCACGAAAUCAAUUGCAACAGUUGAAGAUGAAAACAUUCAAAUGCCUUGCCUUUCUCCAAAUUUGACCCUCCAAGCAUGAGUCCAGCCAUUUGCACAUUAGACCCUUGGGAGGAGCUCACCGGAGAACAACAAGACCGUGUUAUCCAACAAUUUUCAGAUCAAAUUGCAACAUAAAGAACAAAGCAUUGCAACAUCUGGCAUCACGAGCUACAACAGCAACCAGUUAGGAUCAGGAGAAAGAGGGCAAACACAAGCCUAACAAUGAGUUAUAUCCGGUUUAAACAAGGAUAAAAAUGAGUGUAUUUUACACUCAUCAUGUUGUCUUUUCGCAGCUGUACCGCCUUUAGCGUGUUGUAUUGUUCCUAACACCAAGUCUCCGAGGCCCGAAAAAAUAAGGAAAGUGGUAGCAGCUCAGAAAUCGACUAAGUUUCUUUCCCCCUUUGGCUUUCCUACUAGGAUUCGGAAUCCUCUUUCGUAUGACAAUCUUAAUGAUCUCCCAUAGUCCAAAACUCACAAAAACAUCAAAAAUCCACCGAGAAUAAAUUAAGUAAAAAAACAUGCACACACAGAUAAUAAUAGUAAUCAUGUUUCAUUAUGAUUGCUAAGGUCAGACACAAUACAUAAACAUAUUAGACUGAGUGACCCACCUCACCUCAGAGUAUGCACCAUGUCUGAGUGACCCACCUCACCUUGCCAGGACACUGGUCCUGCCCUCGUGGUUCACGCGCCCUCGUGGUUCAGCAGUGGUCAGUACACAAAUCUAGCUGCCAGUCGGAUCCAAGGGCAGGCAUUUGCAUUGUGGUUGUGUUUGAACAUGGAGAUGUCAUUAUUAUUGUCAGGCACCAUACAUCCUCUCUCAGUUUCACUCCGCCUCACACACGGAUAGCACACCAGGGACCCGACACCAUGCAUGCCGAUUUCAUAUUAUUAAUAUUUAAUUUUUUUAAUGGUUGUUGAAACUAUAUUGUUGAUAUUUUUAUACAUAAUUUACGACCUAAUUUGGAUAUAUUUUUGAAAUAUUCCGAAAUCUUAAAUUCACACGUCUAGAGAUACAGUUAGUCCAAUCUGAUGUUUCCGAUUAUAAAAAUGAACAUAAAGAGAUAGGAAGCGAGAGACGUGAGGGGGAAAGUUAAAUUAGGGCCUAAGGGGUGAAGUUAGGGUUCCAGGUGAGCUGUCAUCACUACGUGUUUUUAAUCGAAAUUGGAAUGUCAGCAAUCGUCAGAUCUUGAGCCAACAGUUGAGACUGCCUCGGAAUGGUAAUUAGGUCUGCGCGAGCUUGCAUUGUGGCCUUCCUUGAAACCUUGGACAUAGGUGUUAUAUUAUUAUGUUCUUGCCAGCACACAGCAGUGAAGGACGACACAGUUGAGAUGUGCAUCACAUUUUCUAUAUGAAGGAUAUGUUUAGCAAACCUAAGAUUUUAGAAUAAAAAGAAAAAUCAUGGGAGCCAAAGCGCCACAUAGUUCUUCCAGGUAAAAAAAAAUCAUCCACUGGACCAGCACAUAGUAACGAUCCAAAAAGUCCAUAUUAAGAUUUUUUGAUAGCAGAAAAAACAUAAAAUGUCUAAUAUUUGUAGUAUUAAAAGGAAAAAUAAUAUAUUCACGUGACCUUUUUCCCGUAGCAAGGCACCGGUACGUGGUCAGACUUAAUGCACGAUGCCUAAGCAUCCAUUGGGCCUACCCUCGUGUGGAUCACGCGCAACAGGACACGGCUCACAAGCUAUGAUGUGCAGCAGUCGCUCAGAUGGCUGAAAGGUACCCUUAAUUUGAAUGGUACCAUAUAUAUAUAUAUAUAUAUAUAUAUAGUAAACAAGACAAACCACCGUUGAUACUACUUUGCACUACUUGAUACAUAUAUCUCCACCAAAAGCGAGGCACGUGGGGAGGAGAGAUAUGUGGUUGAUGGUGCGGGCACGUGGCGAGUGCACCGUACGAAAAUUUUGCUCGUGUCGGACGACUGAUGUGAAGCAUUACCCAAUCUUAAUUAUCUCCCAUAAUCCAAAACUCACAAAAACAUCAAAAAUCCGCCGAGAAUAAAUUAAGUAAACCAUGCACACACAGAUAAUAAAAUUGCUAAUAAGGCCAGAGACAAUACAUAAACAUAUUAGACUGUUCAUGACACAUAUCACGGUGGAUAGUGUCUGUGUCCUUAUUACAAGCAAUGAGAGAUGCUUGUCACCACACACACGCGCACAGAUGCACAACAUACAUAUAGUUGAGACCAACAGAUGGAUCAACUAGAGGUCACCCCAUAUGGUGAACAAUUUAUUGGAGAUAAACAUUAACAUAACUUGGCCAUAGCUUGAAGCAUAGCAACAUAUGCCUAUGAACGGCGUUCAUGCUAUCAUUUUAGGCUUGUCCGCUUCUUCCAUCUUAGCAAGCACUUCCAUUUCUACCAUCUUAGAAGCAACUGUCAAAUUGAGAUAUGGAAAUCCCAUUAGCGCAUGAGUUAAUUUUGCAGUGAAAAUAGAGUACAAGAUAUCUUCAUGAUGUAAGUAACAUGCCUGAAGUUGUGAGAUGGGAAGUGAAGUCAACAAAUUACAUUAACGGAAAUGCAUGGAAGGCCACACAUACGUAUUAGUCCAUGAUAUGCUACAAAGCUUGUAUGUACAUAUAGCAAAUUAAAUGCAUUAAUUGAAUAGAGUGAGUUUAGUGAAUUUACCAGAAUCGUCCAGAAAACAUGGGAAACAGCAAGUGUUCUUGCAGACUGCGUCGGUGCCACCCACAGCAAUACAACCAAAACAACAUGCUUUUGCCCGAGCGGCUGCGCAGCAGCCGCACUCUGCCGCGGUGGCCGAGUUAGCAUUGAGGCUCAAGAUGACCAGGCACAUGAUCACCAUCAAAGCGGUGGUAGUCCUCUUUCCCUCCAUUGCCUCCUCUUGCUGCUACCUUCCUUGGUUACCUAGCUAAGUUUAUUGGUUUUGUGUUGAGAGGUGAUUCUUGCAUUGAAUGGACGUUGCCGCGGCUGCAAUUUAUAGGCAGCUGCGCUAUGUGAUGAUAUGGACAAGGUGCAAAUGGGUGGUCCUGAUAUGGAUAAGGUGCAUGCGAAUGGCUGUCUACUUGUAUAGUGGCGCUCCAAUGUACAUACGUAUGUA
This 64297-nucleotide long non-coding RNA is filed under the name Setaria viridis. RNAcentral's name for it is "long non-coding RNA (SVIR_LNC010032)". Lineage: Eukaryota; Viridiplantae; Streptophyta; Magnoliopsida; Poales; Poaceae. The record is from RNAcentral.